RNAcentral lists this long non-coding RNA (68622 nucleotides) under Ananas comosus (pineapple). RNAcentral describes it as "long non-coding RNA (ACOM_LNC009115)". Lineage: Eukaryota; Viridiplantae; Streptophyta; Magnoliopsida; Poales; Bromeliaceae. The record is from RNAcentral.
AAUUUGGCUAUUUUAGUGGUCAAGUGAAUGUGGUUUUUUUUUUUUUUUUUGAGAGAGAGAAAUGUAGCAUGCUACCCGCUUCGUUUAUUUUUUUAGUAAUAAACUUAGCUAGAAAUAUGAACAAAUAGGAUUCGAACUUGGGACCUUGGGUACCAACAACCAAACCUUUUACCACUUGUGCUUGGGACAAUCGGUGAGUGAAUGUGGUUGUUAGUUUAACAGUUAAAUGUAAUUCAAUUAAGUUGGUUUGUUAGAAAAUACUCUUUUAAAUCUUGAUCAAUAUUCGAUGUGUCUCGAAAUUUGGUUAUCGAGGUCGAUUUUGUACCCCUGAUUCACCGACAAGUUCGUUGUGCGACAAAAUUUGAGAAAAUAAUUUGUGAAGGGAAAAGGAAUGUCUGUAGUGGAAAUGAAGGGAUCGUACUCGAUAUUGAAGAAACCUAUUAGGAGCAAAUGAGUCCUCUUUCUUUUCUUUUGCCCUAGAGGCGUGUCGCAAAAUGUAAUCUCCAAAAAUUAUACGCCAUUUUUUUUCGCAUAGUGAAGUUUUCUCCUCUUUCGCCCGUCGUUCUUUUCCCUGCAAAGAGUUUCCAUAUUAAAAACUAUUGUAGCUUUUAAAUUAAAAUUUAUCAAUAAGUGAGACCAGGAUUCUUUUAGAGGAUUUAAUCCUAAAUCCUUCUUUCCCACAAUUAAUUCUCGAGCAUUUAAUUUGAUGAUUAGAACCUUCAGAAAUGUUUUGCACUAUUUCAAAUACCAAAAAUCAAAUAUCUUUGAAUUUGAAUAGUUUCUAUUUUUCCCAAAUUUGACUAUUUUAAUGGUCAAGUGAAUGUAGUUGUUAGCUUAACAAUUAAAAUAAUUUAAUUAAGUUGGAAUUUGUUAGAAAAUACUCUUUGAAAUCUUGAUCAAUGUUAGAUGUGCUUUGAAAUUUAGUUGUUGAGGUCGAUCUUGUACCCCUGAUUUACUGACAGCUUAGUAGUGUGACGAAUUUAAAAAAAAAUAAUUUGUGAAUGAAAAGGGGGUGUCCGUGGUGGAAAUAGAGGGAUCGGAUCUGAUCUCGAAGAAGUCCGUUAAAGAGCAAACGGGUCUUCUUUCUUUUCUUUUCCUCUAGAGGCGUGAUCGUAGAUUGUAAUCUCCAGAAAUUGUACUUCCUUUUCUUUUUGUAUAAUAAAGUUUUCUCUUCCUUUGCCCUUGAUUUUUUUUUUCCUACAAAAAAUUUUUCACAUGUAUUCUACUUUCUUUUACUGCUUUGUGGUUUGUCUACUUUAUUAUCGGCAUUUUCGUUUUUGUUUGUGCGCUCAUUGUAACAAUCAAAAAUGAUAUCUUUGAAUUACAUAAUAGAGAGAUCACAUGUCAUGUUUUUCAACUCAAUUCAAUUUACACCAGUCAUAUUUCGUUUAAACCAUCAAAAUUUUAUGAUUUUUAGUUUACAUGCUCUAGAUUAUUUUUCAAGUUGUUGAUACUGAAUUCAAAAAGCAAGAAUUUAGGAUCAAACCCUCUUAAAAGGAACCUAAUUUUUACUUCAACAAAAAUAAUGUACUUACUUAUGGAGGAUGCAGCUAUUUAUUCAAGAUGAAUCUUAUAUAAACAUUCAAAUUGUAAUGGUUGGACCCAGCUCAAACAGGGAACAUGUUAUGUGGACAUUUUGGAAAGCAAAAUGAACUUGGCCAUGCAUAUAUGCUACCAAAUUUGACUAUUGCUUAAGAUUGCUUUGAAUACACUGAUCAUCAUUUGGUUUUUAGUAUGCUGUAUUAUGAUCUAUUGUACUUUUGUUGAACCCUUAAGGUUCCAAAAAUGUAGGUUAUGAAUUUAGUCACAUUCCCGUUCGAUUUAGGAGCCUAAUGUGGUGCAAACUAAGAUUUCCUUGGAAUUUGUUAGAUAGUCACAUUAAAAUUAUGUAUGCAAUUAAUUCAAUGGAUGCCUCAUGUGUCUCCUUCCACCCUAUCACUACUCCAAUUAACAAAAUUGUAGUGGCGGAGGAUGAAGAGCUUAGGGCUCGAGCAAGAACAACAAAGGAACAUGUAGAUUUGGGGAGAAGAUCUAAAAUAGGGAAUAGUAGUAAUAAUGGGUCGGACGGUCAGAAUCUCAAUUCGACCUGUCAAGGCUGUUGGAUCACAGGUUGCCUGGAGCAGGCCUUCCAUUAUGAUCCACGAAGUCGGUCCACAGAGAAAGGGCAACCCACCAAGUCCAACUAUUUAAUCAAUUUUCCUCUUAAUGCCUUUCAUUUCUUUAUUUGCAUAGUAGGCAUCAUGUAAUAGCUAUAAGUAGUAGAAGGGGUAAAGUGUAAGGGUAUGAAUGGAAUUAAAAGAAUUCUUCCUCCCGAAUUCUAUCUUCUCUUUUCCUCUUUUCUCCUCUCUCCUCCCUCCUCUCUUCCACUUACCUCAUCCUCUCUCGUCAACCUCAUCCUCUUCCUUGAAUUACCAAAUUUCAGAAUCUAAGCAGACUAUCAUUCCUAUUACCAUCCAACCCUCAAGAGCAUUCUCAUCCUUGGGUGGUUGCGGUGAGUCCGGGCAUUACAAUCUGGUAUCAGAGCCGAUUCCGAUCCCAGGGAGCUACGAUGGAAAAACCCACGUUGGAUCCAAAUUGAAAGAUCUGUAGAGCCACAGGGGAUAUCAACCCGCAAUUGAAAUUUCCUCUUCGGGUGGAAUUUGGAUUACGAGGGUUAUCCACUGUUAGGCACUAGAGGAUCGAAGCCUACAGGGAAGACGAAGUAUCAUAGGGUCAAUCCUUGAAGACGAUUGCAGAAUUAGAGCAUACAUACCAUUGGACCAACAUUGGAUCCAGUAGAACGAAUCGCUUCAAGUUUGUGAGUAAGACAACUUAGGCCAUGGUAGAGGGCACGAGGUUCAGGAUGCUGGAUGAGCAUGUGCAGUUCCUGGAGCAAUAAUUGCAGGAGCUAACAGCCAGAAACAAUAAGAAAUUUGAGGAGCUAAGACAUAAGAUAGAGAUGAUGCAAGCGGAGGAACAUUCCCACUACGAUGCAUUGCGCAGAGAGUCCGCCAACACGGCUAAGAAACUAGACCAGCUGAUGGAAUUCAUAUCAACCAACAGCAAGCAUCAUCUUCAAAGGAAAGGACUAUCAUGCAGGAAGAGAGAGAUAUACUGCCCACUCCCCUUAUUCUGUUGUCUAGAGAAGACACACAUUCCUUCCAAAUACACACUAGGACCAAUAACCAAUUACCUCUUCCGCGAUUGGAAUUUUUAAUGUUUAAUGGCGAUAACCCCAGGAGUUAGGUUAGAAGAUAUAAAAAAUAUUAUGAGAUUUAUGAGAUUAAGGAGCAUCAAAAACUGGAGAUAGCUACUAUGCAUAUGGAACCCAAGGCAGAUACCUAGUUCCAUGGUUACCUGACUAAGAAAAGGACCGUGAGUUGGGAGAUGUUCGUGCAGGAUAUAUGCAAAUGAUUUGAUCCAAAUGGUUUAAAGGAUGUAAUGGAAGAAUUUAACAAGUUGACACAACAAGGAACAGCAGAAGACUAUCAGGAGCAAUUCGAAGAUCCGAAGGAAAGGUUACUAAGUACCAACUCAUACUUCACACCUGAAUAUUUCCUGUCAAGUUUUUUGAGUUGGCUAAAGAAAGAAAUAAGAACUGAUGUCAAGAUGAUGCAGCCCAAUUCUCUCAUCCAGGCCUUCGAGUUGGCCAAGCUGUAGAGCAAAAUUUAGUAGCAGUGAUGACGAAAAGCAUACUGUGGUUCAAAAAUCAGGGAAGUACCUUGACCAACAGCAAUCACCAGGGUAAUAGUUCGGCAAUGCCAGCUAAGCAGACUGACACUUCCAGGAACUAUGCCAACAAGGCUAUUGCGAAAAGCUUCCCUCGAAAUAGACAGCUUAUCGAACAAAGGAGAGCAGCCGGGCUAAACUUUAAAUGUGGCAAUAAAUAUUCGUUGGGACAUCAAUGCAAAUCACAGUCAGCACACUCCCUGAAUGCUAUGAAUGAGGUGGCGAAAAUUUAUGAUGAAAAGAGCCUAAAGGAAGAGGAGAAAACGGAAGAGCAAGUGAAAAAAGAAGGGAAAGAAGUUGGGUUAUCAGUGCACGAAUUAAGCGUGAAAAAUCUGCAAGAAACUAUUAAAAUCCAAGGUGAAACCAGGGGGAGAAAGCUGGUUAUCCUCACGGACACAGGUAGCACACAUAGUUUCAUAGAGAUAAACGUAGUCAAGGAAAUCAAGGCAACUAUCACCACGACCUCCCCGCUACUGGUAAUAGUGGCAAACGGAUAGAAAGUACUCAGCAAACUUAAGUGUCUUGGGUUCUCUUCGAAAAUGCAGGGAGAAAGAUACACUACAGACCUGCGUGUGAUUAGAUUGGAAGGGUCAAGUAUGAUAUGGGGAAUUAACUAGUUAAAAAUUUACGGACCAGUUAUUUUCGACUAUGAGCAGCAUACAAUGACGAUCAAGAAAGGAGGCAAGCAGGUUGAGCUCAUAGAAAUGACCAUGAAGGCAAUGAUCAAAGGUAUUACAGCCAAACAAUGGCAACAAGAGUAUCUGGAAGGUAGCUGUUGCGCACUAGCUCAACUAGAGAGUAUAGAAGGAGAAAACCAGAUCUACAUUCCCCAAGAGAUUCAAUCGAUUCCACAAAAAUAUGAGGAUGCAUUCCAGGAGCCCCAGGGCCUUCCCCCAGGUAGAACCCAAGAUCAUCGAAUUUCUUUACAAGUUAAGGCAGAGCCUGUCAACAUCCGGCUGUAUAGGUACACUUAUGAGCAAAAGAACGAAAUAAAGAGAUUAAUUAAAGAAAUGUUGGCUACUUCGGUGAUACAACCAAGUAAUAGUCCUUAUGCAUCCCCAGUAUUAUUAAUCAAAAAAAAGGAUGAAAGUUGGCGAUUCUACGUAGAUUACUGACAAUUGAAUAGGCUAACCAUUAAGGAUAAAUACCCAAUACCAAUAAUCGAGGAGCUGCUAGAUGAGUUGGGCGGAUCCAAGUACUAUUUGAAGAUCGAUUUACGAUCAAGCUACUAUCAGAUACGGGUGCACCCAGUCGAUGUUUCGAAAACAGCAUUCAAAACGCAUAUAGGCCAUUAUGAGUUUCGAGUCAUACCGUUUGGACUCAGCAAUGCGCCGGCAACUUUCCAGGCAAUGAUGAACGAGGUAUUGUCACGCCCCGGGACCCAGCGGAAGCCCGCCCUUCACGUGUCAAGACCCGCCAUACGUCUCAAACAUAUAAGGCGUCUACAAUAAAACGAUAAGAAAAAGCAAUAGAAGAAAGAUAUCUAGAAGUAUCAGAGCAAAGAACAACUAGAUUCUACAAAAGAUAAAUAACCAAAAGGCUAAAAUCCACUAAAUAAAACUAUAAGUAGUACAUCCGAAAACCAAAUACAAGUGCUAUAAGUAAUACAUAGGUGGUCUCUAUACAUAGUGCCAAAACCUCUCGCUCUCUACAAAAACAAAAGAGAGAGAACCACCUAAAGCAAAAUAAGAACUCCUCGCUAUCUAGUUAGCGAUCCCCUUGCCGCGAUCCCGUGCCUCCACCAGUGUAGAGGACUCUAAAAUAAAACUAUAAAACAGAGGGCGUGAGAACUAUUAAAUAAUAGUUCCCAGUGGGCAAUUACUGACUUCAGUGAAAUGCGCCACUAGGCCCAAAAGCUAUAAAAGGGGGGUAAGUACGAGUAAAGUAAUAUGAACAAUAAACAAAUAAACAUGAAAGUUUACUACAACAUGAUAUCUCUACUUAGCAUGAAUUUGCAUAAGUAAGAAUGCUACUGUACCAUAAAUAUGUAUAAGUGCAACUACUAUGAUGUCCACAGAUAACUAGUAAAUUGUCAAUGUUUACUAACUUGUCAAAUUGUUCAUUUACAAAUUGGUUCCACUUGUUCCAAAUCUCAUAAGACCUACCUAUGGGUAGUCCGGCUUGCGCCGUGCCUAAUGGCCCCAUGGUAGUAAACAUCCCCACUCUAGGAAUGAGCCUUCCCCACGGCAUCCCAUUUCGGCGCCCAAUCCCGCACGGGCGAGCAUGUGUCGCGAUGGCUAUCUCCGGAGUGCCGGCUUGUGGGGAGCGACCCUCACAAGCAUGUGCGAAUGAGCACAAUGGCAAGCAAGCGUAAAAGUCCGUCUCGAGUCUCAAGUCAUCAUGUCUAAAAUAUGUAAUGUAGCAAAUCUCUCAAUGGCCUAUCACUAUGUCAUCAUGUCUAAAACAUAGAAUAUAGUCGAUGUCACAAUGGCCUAUCACUAUGUCUCUAUGUUGCAGUUUCACAGUUCACUAGUUCGGUGCCCCUUUAUGGCACUUUUGUUCGCUUUGCCCAAACAUAAGUUUAGUGUUCAAGAAUACAUAAUUCGAGUCAUUUUCAUCAUAGGAGACAUAUUUUCAACUUGCAAUAUAGAAUACUUUUCACAUGCAUGCCUAAUACACAUAUAGCUCUGCUAUAUAGAGUUGAAUUUUCACGAUAUAUAACACAUGCAUUUUAAGUAUUCUAAAAUUUAUAAAAAAUCUAUCUAGCAUGAAUAUGCAUGCAUUUCGAUGAUACGACAAGUAUAAAACACAUAGGGGAUAUUUCUCCCUUGUUUCAUGAAGUCAAACCUACCGUGACUUCUCAAAACCCUUCGUUUGCGCCAACGAAGGUGUCCACUAUUCUCCUAGUACCCUAAAGAUAACAAAAUGAGGGAUACACGAACGUUACGAACAAUCAUUUGUUCAAACAUUAAGCAACUCAAGCAAAGGUGAAGAAAACUCACCAAAUGCGAAGAAACCUCUCACGAUCUCCAAAAGGGAGUUAGAGGCCCUCAAAUCCAACCUAAACCAAGAUUCUAAUAAGAUCAAUUGGGCUCCAAAAUCCUCAAAUCCAAAAUCCCCAUUACUAACCCUAAUAUGCUCCAUCUAGGUUUCAUUAAGUAAAAGCUACUAAAACAUGAAUCAAGAAGUAGAUUAGGCUUACUAACCUCACAAGAGCUCUAAAACAAUGCUCCAAGUAAGCUAGGGUUGAAGAUCCUCCCUCCACAAAGCUCCAAUCACGAGCUCGAGGCUUCUCCUAUGGAGGAAACCCAACAAGAAGCAAGAAAAGCAUAGAGGAGGAGAUCAAAACUAGUUAAAACCCAUCAAAAAUGGAGAAGAAAUUAAGGGGGGAAGAGCUUACCUUGUUCUCCACUGGUUAGGGCUCAAAAGAGCUCCUAAGGGGGCUGGGGUGUGUUAUAUAGAGUUUGCAACAAUUAUAAAUACACCCCUCCACAAAAACAGCUCGCACUGCAUUGUGUACCGGUACACGGGAAAGUGUACCGGUACAAAUCCCGCGAGACAGCAAACCCGAGCCUCGGGUUGGCCAUUCACCACAUCUGUACCGGUACAACCAUCAAGGUGUACUGGUACACUUUCUGUACCAGUACAACCAUCAAGGCUGUACCGGUACACAGCCCUAUUGAGGCAAUCCGAGAGCAGACCCAAAAAUCUAAUCUUUUGGAUUUUGGUGCUAAGUUUUAAACCUUAAUUCUCGGGAUACGAGCCAUAGGUCGGAACACUGUGUAACGUACUGGACCUUUGCAAAUUGCAAGGUUCGAGUGUUUGGAUGUGUCCUGAGCUUUUCCAGAUUUUCUGGUGGGUCAUUGACUGUGUUCCGACCUAUGGUCAGCUCUCGGGUAGCCCUCAGCAGGGCUUGUACCGGUACAAGGCUGUGGCUGUACCGGUACAAGGCUGAUAGUUGUAUCGGUACAGCCACCGGGCUUGUACCGGUACAGGGCCGCAGAACCCCGCAACCCGAGCCUCGGGUUUGGCUUUUCGUGGGUCUUGUACCGAUACAGGGACCCGUGUACCGGUAUAAGGCGGCAGAUUUCGUACAGUCCGAACUGCAGGGGGUUUUUCGCGUUUGUGCCUAAUCUAUUUAGCACCCACGCCCCUUAGGGCUUCUUUUGUGCUGGAACCUGAGGAGGAGAAGGUGAGAGGAGCUCCACCUUGCUCCAUUUGGUUUUGAUCUCCGUUUUAGACGGAUUUUGGUGGAUUAAUUAUUUUCUUUUCUCUUUUUAUGCUUUUCCCACCAUUGAUGGAGCUAGGAGCUUGGAUUUGAGGCUUGGUGGAGGUAAGAUCUUUGGACUUAGAAGGUUUAGAGCUUGGAUGGGAGCAUUUUAGAGGUAAAAGACUUGUUCUUUCCUCUAAAUUCCUAGCUUUGAUGAUUCUUUUGGAAUUAAACCCUAAAAUGAGGUUUUAGGGCUUAUUUUGGGCAUUUUGAAUCUAGGGCUUUUGGAGUUAGAUUGAGUGGAUUAGAGGCCUCCAUUAGGUUGGAUUGGAAGGGCUCUAGCUCUCUUUUGGAGCUUUAGAGGAGUUUUUGCACUGGCGGUGCUUUAGAGGCCUCCAUUAGGUUGGAGUGGGGAUGUUGACUACCACGGGGCCACUAGGCACGGCGCAGGCCAGACAGCCUUCGGGUGGGUCUUAUACGAUUGGGACUUGGUGACAGAACAUGCUAUGUGAACUUUAAAACUAUUAGAGUGGACUUGGACUAGAACAGUAAACAAUGACAUCUUUACUAUUUUUGCAUUGAGGACAUCGGAUUGGUUGCAUUUCUAUGCUUAUGCAUGUCAUACACAUCCAUGUACAUUCCUGAUAUAGUUGCUUUAUUACUUAUGCAAAUCAUGCUAAGUAGAGACUUUAUGUUAUAGUAAGUUACACUUUACUUACCUUUCGCUUUACUACGCUGUUAGCUACUGACCACUUUCUUUGUAGCUUUGGACCUUGUGGUGCAUUCACUAAAGUCAGUAAUUGCCCACUGGGAACUAUUUUUAAUAGUUCUCACGCCCUCUUUUUUGUGGUUUCUUUCAGAGCCUUCUGCACCGGCAGAGGCACGGGAUCACGGCAAGGGGAUCGCAUAGCUAGCCAGCGAGGAGCGGUUCUUUGCCUAGGUUGUUUGCUUUUUUUUUUCUAGUUGAGAGAGUGAGAGAUUUUGUAUCCAUGUAUAGAGACCACCUAUGUAUCUACUUCUAGCACUUGUAUUUGGAAUUUUCUUUGUAUUACUUUAUACUUUUAUUAGUGGAUUCCAGCUUUAUUCUCCUUUCUCUAUUGUAGAAGUUAGUAUUAUAUCAUACUCUGAUACUCCUAGUUGUCUUUCGUUACCGCUUUAUUUAUGGUUAUUUUUAGACGCCUUAUAUGUUUUAGACGUAUGGCGGGUCUGAGCACGCGCCGGGCGGGCUUCCACUGGGUCCCGGGGCGUGACACAUUGUCAACGACCCUCCAAAAUAUCUGAAAAAAUUCGGAACACGGAUCAAACACUCGAACCUCGCAAUUUGCAAAAAUCUAGUGUGUUACAGGUAUUCGCCCCCUUACUCUGAAAGUUUGUCCUUAUUUUCUUCGAUGACAUAUUGGUUUAUAGUAGCACUUUAGAGGAGCAUGCGAGACACUUGGAAACAGUGUUUCACAUCUUAAGAAAGAACAAACUUUUUGCGAAAAGAACGAAGUGCUUCUAUAGGCAAGAGCGGGUUGAAUAUAUGGGGCACAUCGUCACACAUCAAGGAAUAGCCACAGACCAGAGUAAAAUAGAGGCUAUGCAACAAUGGCCGACACCAACUUCAGCUAAGGGGCUGCACAAAUUUCUUGGCUUGACAGGUUACUAUCGGAGGUUUAUUAAGGGCUACGGUGCCAUUAGCAAACCCUUAACUGAACUAUUGAAGAAAACAUGGUACAAGUGGAACCCAAAGGCAUAGAAAGCCUUUGAGAAGCUAAAGAAACUAAUGACGGAAGCGCCGGUACUCGCCAUGUGGACAACAACAAGCCUUUGGUAGUAGAAGUUGAUGCUUGCAAGCAAGGGAUUGAAGCAGUCUUGAUGGAAAAGGGCCGACCAAUUACCUAUCUAAGCAAGGCUAUAAGUGGGAAGAACCUUAGAUUAUCUACCUAUGAGAAGGAAAUUCUUGUGAUAUUAAUGGCGCUUUCCAAGUGGCGACUCUACUUGAGUCAUAGGCAAUUUAUCAUUCAGACGAAUCACGAAAGCCCUGAAUACUUGCCGGAACUAAGAAUUUCCACAGCUAUCCAACAAAAAAGGAUGUUGAAGUUUUUAGGGCUAGAUUGUAUAAUACAAUACAAAAAGAGGAGAGAGAACAAGGCUGCAGAUGCAUUGUCUCAUAGGGCGUUUGAAGAAAGUAAAACACAGGCUAUUUCGGUAGCUAUUCUAGAGUGGACCACUGAAAUUUCUGCAAGUUACCAAGGGGAUGCGGAGUGCCAAAAGCUAAUAACCCAACUAUGUCUACAACCAAAUGAAGCUGCGCCUUACACCUAUGAUCAAGGAUUGCUGCGUUACAAAGGGAGAUUAUUUAUUAGAGGGAAAGGAGACCUCCGGUAGCUAUUACUGGCUCAAAUGCACAGCUCAACCUUGGGAGGACACUCGGGACAACAAGCUACUUACAAAAGGAUCAAACAGAUAUUCUACUGACCGGGACUCAAGCGUGAAGGAAGAGAUGGUAAAAAAUUGUACAGUUUGCUUCCAAAACAAAGCUAACAAUCAACCCUAUGCCAGACUACUGCAACCCCUGCCAAUUCCGCACCACAUUUGGCAAGAAAUUAGUAUGAAUUUCAUAAAAGGUCGGAAGGUAAAAACUCCAUAUUGGUGGUGAUCGAUCGAUUCUCCAAAUACGGUCAUUUUAUUCCUUUGAGCCGAUCGAUUCUCCAAAUACGGUCAUUUUAUUCCUUUGAGCCACCCAUACACUGUCGCAAGCAUGAUCAGAGCUUUUUAUGGCACAAUCUACAAAUUGCAUGGGCUACCGAAGAAGAUUAUAUGUGACCGAGAUAGGAUCUUUACAAGCGAACUAUGGAAUGAGCUAUUCAAGAAACUGGGGACUAAGCUGCUCAUGAGCUCAACGUACCACCCCCAGACGGAUGGACAAACGGAGAGAUUUAACCAUUGUGUGGAGACAUAUUUGCGCUGCUUAUGUUUCCGACACCCACACAAAGGCAUCGUUGGAUAGUGUACGCAAAAUGGUGGUACAACACCAACUUUCAUACCUCCUCAGGUCCUCUAUGGGAGAACACCCCCAAACUAUCUAGUAGCCAAUCUGGGGUUAGCCAAUCUGGGGUUAGGCUCUACAAAAUAAGUACAAGAAUGGAGGAAAGAGAGGGAAAAGAUUAUGAGGGACCUUCGGGAGAAUCUAUUGAAGGCCCAAAACAGAAUGAAACAAUUCGCCGAUAGACACCGAGUGGAUCGGGAAUUCAAGGUAGGAGACUUUGGUGUUCCUAAAGCUACAACCUUACCAACAAAACACAGUGACGGAGCGAAGGAACAUGAAGCUUUCAGCUUGAUACUUUGGGCCCUACGAGGUUUUGGAGAAGGUCGAGGCGGUGGCGUACAAGUUGCGGCUUCCGGACGACUCAAAGAUACAUCCCGUCUUCUAUGUUUCCUUGCUCAAGUGAAGCCCACCAGAUGGGCACUCGGCCUCAAUGGCGGCACCAGUAGUGUGGAGGAAGGACAACCACCGACGGUGCCGGAGAAGAUUUUGGAUCGCCGUAUGGUGCGGCGAGGGAACAAAGCGGUAGCUCAAGUUCUAGUGAAAUAGAGCAAUCUUCCCGAAAAUCCGGCGACUUGGGAAGAUGAUUGGUCACUCAAGAAGCAAUUUCUUGCCUUUGAUCUUUAAGGACAAGGAUCGUUCCGUAGGAUGGAGGGAUUGUAGUGGCGGAGGAUGAAGAGCUUAGGGCUCGAGCAAGAACGACAAAGGAACAGGAAGAUUUGGGGAGAAGAUCUAAAGUAGGGAAUAGUAAGAAUAACGGGUCAGGCGGUCGGAAUCUCAAUUCGACCCGUCAAGGCUGCUGGAUCACAGGUUGCCUGGAGCAGGCUUUCCAUUAUGAUCGAUGAAGUCGGCCCAUAGAGAAAGGACGACCCGCCAAGUCCAACUAGUUAAUCAAUUUUCCUCUUAAUGCCUUUCAUUUCUUUAUUUGCAUAUUAGGCAUCAUGUAAUAGCUAUAAGUAGUAGAAGGGGUAAAGUGUAAGAGUAUGAAUGGAAUUAACAGAAUUCUUCCUCCCCAAUUCUAUCUUCUCUUCUUCUCUCUCCUCCCUUCUCUCUUUCCCUUUCCUCAUCCACUCUUGUCAACCUCAUCCCCUUCCCUGAAUUACCAAAUUUCACAAUUCGAGCAAAUCAUCAUUCCCAUCAUAAUCCAACCCUUUGAGCAUUCUCAUCCUUGGGUGGUUGCGAUGAGUUCGGACAUUACAAAAAUUUCCAACCCAAAAGUCAUCCAGUUGUUUAUUUAGAUUUUUUUUUGAGAAAAAGAUAAUAUGUUAUCCGCUUUGUUCAUUUUUUUUAGAAAUAAACUCAGCUGAAAAUGUAAAGCAAAUAGACCUCGAACUUGGAAUCUCAAGUACGUACCAAGUACCAAGUCCUUUGCCACUUACGCUAGGAAUGAUUUAGAUUUUGUUUGCAGAAACCUGCACUUUAUGGUUCUUGCUACAUGGGCAUGAGUGCGUACCAUGUAAAGCACCUUCGCCGAUUUUAAGCUUAUCGGAUAGAGAAUGAGUCUAACAUAAGUUUAUAUGGUAAAGGAUCUAUUUUAGCAUAACUACUAAGAAAGUGAUUUCUACUUAAAUGAUUUUGACGGCGAAAAAGUAGUACUUUAAAAAGUCAUUUUGUAAAACGUUUUGGCAAAUUUUUUGAAAGUUAUUUGGUAAAAUAUAAAAUAAUUUUAAAUUUUAAAUUUUAAAUUUUAAAAAUUUGAAAUUUAAAAUUUGACUUUAGAAUUUUAAAUUUUGAAUUUUGAAUUCUCCAUUUUAAAUUUUAAAUUUUAAAAUUAAAAAUAAUUUUUAAUUUUCAAAUCUUGAAUUUAUAUAUAUAAUUUAAAAUUUUAAAAUUUUAAUUUUAAUUUUAAAUUUUAAUUUUAAUUUUAAAUUUUAAAUUUUAAUUUUAAAUUUACAAUAUAAAUUUAAAAUUUUUAAUUCUAAAUAUUAAAAUUUGAAAUUUAUCAAUUUUGAAUUUGAAAUUUAUCAAUUUUGAAUUUAAAAUAUGAGCUUGAAAUUAAAAGUUUAAAUCCAAAAUCAAAAUUUAAAUCUAAAAUUUCAAUAAAAAAUUAGAAUCAUAUUUUAUGAACAAGAUUAUCUCCUUCUGAUUCUGGGACCUCUAGAAUCAAAAAUCUGAUUUCACAACAUAAAUUACCAAGUGCGCAAUUAUCGAAAGAUAAAUUACUUUUGGCCCUAAAAUUAGUUUAUGAAAGCUAGGCCAAAUAGCCCCAUGCCAAAGCAUCAAAUAGCAACCCUAGACGUAAGGGUGAUAUUGAUAAAUCAAAAAGCUCUUUUCACAGUCAUGAGAUGGGAUAUUGAUAGGCCUGGCAGACUGUAAAAGUGGGAUGAAGAACGCCUUUCGGUUAGAACUGUCACAUUGACGUCAUUCUCUUCUAAUCAUUCCAAGCAGUAAGACCUGAGAUCAGAAUCGAAAUAGGAAUAGAAAUGAAAAUAUACCGAAAUCGAAAACAGAAUGAUGAUCAAACUUCUAAUUUAUUUUGUUAUAAUAAAGGAAAUCAAAAUUAAAAUCAUGCGCCAAUCAAAAUUCAAAUUUAAUUAAACUACAAAUUUACAAUAUAAACUCAUAAUUAAAAUUUGAAUUUAAAUUCUAACUCGCAAUUGAGUUUAAAGUUGGAAAUUACAAUUCAAAUUCAAGUUCAAGGUCGAAAUUAAAAUUUAGAACAAAAUUCAAACAUCCAACUUAUAUUAGAAUUUAAAUUUGAACUUAACAAUUAAAAACUAAAAUUUAAAUAUAAUUUAAAUUUAGGCUAAAUUACAGAAAACCUCCUUGUAAUAACCCAUUUUUUUACUUUCCCUCCCUGACAUUUAAAAACCUACACUUUGUCCCCCUGUAAAAUAAAAAAUGUGCACUUCACUCCCUACCGUUAGGGUUCCGUUAAAAAAUAUAUUUUUAUGCCAAAAAUACCCCUCCGCCAUCUCCCUCUUGCUUCGACUCCCUCCGGCUCGCCACCUCGCCGCCGCCUCGCCGUCUCGCCGCCUAGCCGCCUCGUCGUCCUCCACUGCCUCGCCCUCACCAACAUCCCCUUCACCGUCCUCCGCCGCCUCGCCUUUGCCUUCUUUGCCCUUCUCCUACUGUCGCCCACCUCGGUUUUCUCCUACUGUCGCCGAAAUCGAGGGCGGCGAGGGUGCAGGAGGAGAAGGGGAGCAGGUGGAGAAGGAAAUGGAGAGAAAUUGCGGCCGAUUGAGGUGGGAAUCGCAGCCGAACGAAGAGGCGGCUAAGGAAGAUGGGGAAGUAGACGACAAUGGCGAGGGGCAAAAUGGUCAUUUUACACAUCGUAACCCUCCUGUGAACAUUUUUCAUUUUACAGGGGGGCAAAGUGUAGGUUUUGAAUAUCAGGGGGGGAAAGUGAAAAAGCGGAUAAUGAUAGGGGGUUUUCUGUAAUUUAGCCUUAAAUUUAUUCUAAAAUUAAGUAUAGAUAAUAUUUAAAUUUCGAUAACUAUUAGUGAAAAAUAAGUUCUUUUCUCAAUCCCUUUUCGAGUCAAGAUCGAUUUCCCCCUCCAACAGGGGAAUCAUUUUGGGGGUUCAAUUUUUUUUUCUGAAGUGGAAAUCAAAAUGUUAAUCGCUCAAAACCAUAAACCAAUAAUAGAAAUGAUUUAUUCAGAUUCCGAUUUUUACUCCAAGGCUCAAAUCCUUGAAACCAAAUGUAUGAAGCGAAAAGUUUGCCGGACCAUGGGUCAAGAACACUAAAAAUCAAAAGUUAGUACAAACUCCAACAAAAUAUACUGUAAACGAGGUACUCAAAUCAAUCGAGAAAGCUAAUCAUAUAUAUAUAGAGCUUGUUAAAUAAAACCAUUUCCUUAUCCAAGACAUAAAAUUUUUAACUAAUGCCUAGCAAAUCAUUAUAAGCACUUUAUAAGUUAAAAAUUUGAUUCAUAUUCAUUCCAAAUUAUAAUUGCAUUUGAAUUCGUUUAGAUCAAAUAUAAUUAAAAAGUUUAAUAUUCAUAUCUAUGGUCGUAUCAUUAUAUUAAGUAUGAAUAAAUACAAUUUUAUCAAAUAUGCAAUCAUAUUUAGCAGUUUUUACCCCUAUUUAAGAAAAACUGCAAACGGAUCUAAGUAUUUGUGAUGGUAUAUAUACUUGCUAAAAUAGUUUUAUGUUGCUGCCACCACAGUAUUGCACAUCCGCUUUAUUGGACAAAAUUUUGACAGUAGGGGUAUAAAAUACCGUCUCAGAGUUUAUGGACACGUCAGUGUAAUUUACUACCCGUAUUCAUCACAUUCAUAUGAGAGAAGAGGAAUGGUACUUGUCACGUAAAGGCAGAGUAUAAAUUUUAAGCCAAUUUGCAUAAAAAAUUUAUUAAUUUUACAUUUUCAUAAAAAAAUAGAUUUUUUUUUGGAUUUGAUAUGUUGGGUUUGAAUUUUUAGUAAACUAUUUCUUUAUGUUUCUCAUUCAUUUUUCUCCUCCCUCUCCGUCUCCCUCCUCCUCAUAUUUCCUUUCUCUUUUUCUCCUUAUGCUUCCUCACCCUUCUCUUCUUCCACCGUACGCAUGUUGAUGCAGUGCUCCUCUCUUCUACCUUGCCUACACCUCGACAAAUGCUGGUGAUGGCAAUGCGGCUUGGAUAUGGCAUAGAUUGCGGGAGGUUUGGCUGAGGUGAAGAGCAUGGCCGUGGACAGCAAUAGUAACGAAACCAUUAUCCCGACCCUACAUUUCUUCAUCCAAAGGCUAAAAACUCAAAAGCACCAUCUCUUUGGUGAUUUGGAAGUAUUAGGCUACUAUGCUAUUAAUAGCACCAAGUCAUUGGUGCUACCAAGUUUUUGGCCAUUGGAUUAAGAGAUGUGCGGUUAGGAUAAUGUGGGCCCCCUAGGAUUGAGUGGGUGGUUGGUUGAAUAGUAUGAUUUAACCGGUGAAAAUAAUCAAAAGAAUAGAUCUUACGGCAGAAAACUUGGUAGCACCAAGUGCUUCGUGCUAUUAAUAGCAUAGUAGCCGGACUCUCUCUCUCUCUCUCUCUCUCUCUCUCUCCUCUCUCUCUCUCUCUCUCUCUAUAUAUAUAUAUAUAGAGUUGAGCUAGAAUACUAUCGAUAGCAAACGGGCUCCGUUGUCACCCAUUUGUUUUCGAUGAUGAAGCCUCCAAAUCGACGAUCGACACCAUUGAACAUGAUCUAUACCACUUGAAAUAUUUAGAAAUCAAAUUUCAUAUAUUUUCGACAUUGUUCUGUUAUCCAUCGAGUGGACACAAAAAUGAACGGCUAAAAAUGAAUAUUCUUUAAAAAAUGAUGAUAGGAGUCUUAUAAUCAAGAUCAAGAGUACAGAUCUUGUUUUAAAUAGUUUAAAGAAUUUUCUAACAAAAAUUUAAUUAAUUUGGCUAUUUUUACGCCGUUAAACGAGAAAACGCCUCAUAUCGACCAUUAAAAUUACAAAUUUUGAAACCCUUUGAUCAUUAGGCAAAUAAUGUCGAAAAGAUUUAAAAUUUAAUUUCUAAACACUUCAAGUGGUAUAGAUCAUGUUCAACGGUACUGAUCAUCGAUUUAGAGGCUCUAUCAUCGAAAACAAAUGGUGGCAACGGAGCCCGUUUACUAUCGAUAGUAUUCUAGCUUAACUCUCUCUCUCUCUCUCUCUCUCUAUAUAUAUAUAUAUAUAGAGAGAGAGAGAGAAGAGAGCGAGAGAGAGAGAGAGAGUAUAUAUAUUAUUAUAAGAGAGAGAGAGAAGAGAGAGAAGAGAGGAGAAGAGAGAGUUGGAACUGGCUACUAUUAGUAGCAAAAUCCCAUUGUUGCUACCAGUUUUUUAGCCUUUAGAUCACUCUUUUUAUUAUUUUUAAAGCAUUGGAUUAAAUACUAUAAUCCAGUGGGACCACUCAACCCUAGGGGACCAUUCAACUCUAACUGACUAUUAUCAUCCUAACCCUACAAAUUUCAUCCAAGGGUUAAAAAAUGAAUAAAUCAGUGUUUACUAAUUAAUAGUAUUCAACAAACUAUAUAAUAUAUUUAUAUAUAAUAUAUACUAUAUAUAUAUUAUAUAGCGAGAGAAAGCAGAGAGAACAGAGAGAGAGAGAGAGAGAGAGAGAGAGAGAGAGCAGGGACUGGCUGCUGUGCUCUCAGGAGCACGAAGGCCUCCAUGCUCCUGAGCCGUUUCGAUUAUGGAAUUUUCGAAUCGACGAUCAGCUCCGUUAGACUUGAUCUAGCGUAUUUCAAGUUUCUAGAAAAUAAUUUUUGCGAUUUUUCAAUAUCAUUUACCUAGCAAUCGAAAGGAUUCAAAAUCAAUAAUUUUUAACGACUGAAAAUAAAAAUCCUAUAAAAAGUCGUGAUAUAGCACUAAAAUUUUCGAUCAGAAAUAUUGAUCUUGUUGUAAAUAGUAUAAAGAAUUUUGUAUCAAAAUUUCAUCUGAUUUGAAUACUUCUACACUGUUAAACUUGAAAAUGGCAGAUAUAAACCAUUAAAAAUUAUGGAUUUUGAAUCCUUUCGAUUACUAGGUAAAUGAUAUCGAAAAAUCGCAAAAAUUAUUUUCUAGAAACUUUAAAUACCCUAGAUCAAGUCUAACGGAGCCGAUUGUCGAUUCAAAAAUUCCAUCAUCGAAAACGGCUCAGAGCACAGCAGUCCUGCUAUAUAUAUAUAUAUAUAUAUAUAUAUAUAUAUUUCUUCUUCUUUGAAGGUCACCGCGCGCCGCAGCUGCUAUAAGGAAGGCCAACAAGAAGAGAAGAAAGAAAAAGAAGAAGAACAAAAAGAAGUGAAGAAAAAGAAGUUGCAUUAUUUUAGAAUAAGUUACACUAUUUGAAUUAAAGUUGCACUAUUUAAAACCAUUUGAAAGUAAGUUGCUUGCACUAUUUAAUAUUAAAUUGUACUGUUUAAGACUAAAUUAUAUCAUUUGAAACUAUUUGAAACUAAAUUACAUUAAAAAAAAAGGAAGUUUCGUUGUUUAAGACUAAGUUGCAUUGUUUGAGACAAUUUGUACAACUUCUUGACAAGUAUAACUUAACCUCAAACAGUGUAAUUUCUACUUUUGAUAGUGCAACUUAGUUACAAAUAGUUUUAAAAGAUGCAAUUUAAUCUCAAACAGCAUAAGUUAAUCUCAAAUAGUGCAACUUUUCUUCUUCUUUUCCUCUUCUCUUAGCCUUUCCUGUAGAAGCUACGGCACAAGAUGACCUUUCUAAGAGAAAAAAUAUAUACUUUAUUUCUUUUUUUCCCCUCCAUUCUUUUCCACUACUGCACCUAUUGGAUUUUAUUGGGUUUGUUAUGAUUUAAAACUUAUUAAUACUACUUGAUUGGGUUUCUUUAUUGGGUUUGUUAUGAUUUAUUCUUUCGGUUUUAUCUUUAUUUUAAUUCUAAUUCUAAUCUUUACAUAUAAUCUUAGGCUUAUUUUAUUCUACUCGGAUUUGACGCGUUGGAACAAGAUUCUCGCCUUGAUUAUAAAUAUAGGGCGAGGUUGUACGAGUUGAAUAAUAAUAACCCGAGCAUACCUAAAGCCUCUCUUCUUUUCUUGCUUUCUGAGUUUUCGUCGAGUUUUCUUUUGCUGGAUCUGAAGAUGGUUGGAUUGAUCUUGCGCCACCUUGGAAGCGUGCCGACGAGGUGGAACGUGGUCGUUGUAUCGCUAGGAGUAAUUGUCGGAAAGCCUCGCACGUAGAGGCGCAAUUUCGCUUCUAGGACAGUGCUCUGCACGCCUCAAUCCACAGGCCUUAUCUAAAUCUUUUCUUUACCGUAUUUGUUAUUUAAUUUCGUUUUAGGAUUUUUCCUAAACCUGUAAUUAAAAUUUUGAAUUGGUUUUUAAAGAAUAUUGUAAUAAAAGAUCAGAAAGAUUUUCCAACAAUCUAUAAGCGAAAUUGAUUUUAUCUUUUUGUUUCUUUUAUUAUAGUUAUUAAAAUAUAUUAUACGCAAAAUUUGGGCACUUUGGAUUUAUUUUAUAAAGUUACUGUUCAUCAUCUUCUUCUUCCUUUAAAAUUAAUCCUCAAACUAGUUUUAAAGUUCUCGCCAUGGAUGGAUUAUAAUUGUUUGUAGCGGGCGCGGCGAGAUUGCAACUUUGUUUUGGGCGUUUGCGUCUCGGCGACUUUUGGUCGCAUGGAAGUUCGGUAUGAACGACAAUCCGUCCUUAUGCCGCAUGUAGUUGCGAGUCUCCGGUAAGGAUGUGCUGUUGCAAUCAAGUCCCGCAUAGGGUUACCCGCUUGUUAAUCUCGGCCGCACGUGAUGCAUGAGGCUUGGCCUAUUUGAGGCGGCCGCAUCUUUUCUUAAUUGAGUUUUUAAUAAAAGUCAAGGGAGAAGAUGAACAGUAUGUUUUGUUGGGUUGAUUUAUCACAUUCCACUUAAUGAAUUAAGACAACACAACUUUAGAUUUAAUUAAUUUGAACUUCAAAACUGUUUUUUUUUUAAUUCAAAACUGUUUUCUUUUUUGACAUAACAGUAGAAUUAAUUUGUGCACUAAUUUAUUUUUAUUAUGGAGUAUUCGGCGUAACCGUUUACUUUUAAUGGUCAUAAUUUUAAGAGGUGGCAGAACCAAAUGAGCUUCUGGCUUACCACACUUGGGCUGAUUUCUGCUAUCUCGGAUUCUGCCGAUAAUGCUAGUGGAUCUGUACCUAUAGGUGCAACCCAGAAUGUGAUUGCACGGAGUCCACCAUAUUCUCGACCUUAGGAAAAAUUUGAUUAGUAGUUCUCUUUUAUUUCAGCAGGGUUUUAAGUUAGUUUUUUAAUGUAAUAGGGUAGUUAUAACAAAAGGAGUGAAUUUUAUCGGAAAAGAAUUUUUGAGUGAUGGUUUAUUUAAAUUAUCUAUAUCUUCUCCUAAUAUUUGGCAUGGAAGAUUGGGACAUGUGAAUUUUAAUACUAUCAAAAGAUUGAUACAUCUUGAUUUGAUUCCUAAAUUUGAUUUAUCUAAUCAUAGAUGUGAAAUAUGUGUGAAAGCUAAGGAGCCUAGGAAACCAUUUAAAUCUGUGGAUAGAGAUUGCGAUCUUUUAGGAUUGGUGCACAGUGAUGUUUGUGAUGGAAAUAGACCUAGCUAGUAGAGGUGGAAAUAAAUAUUUUGUGACGUUUAUAGAUGAUCAUUCAAAAUAUUAUUAUGUUUAUUUGAUCAAAUCAAAAGAUGAGAUUUUAAACAGAUUCAGGAUUUAUAAGGCUGAAGUUGAAAAUCAAUUAGAUAAGAAAUUAAGAUUUUGAGGUCUGGUCGAGUUGGUGAAUAUACUUCAAAUGAGAUGACUGCUUUCUGUCAAGAGUUUGGAAUUGUACAUCAAGUGAUUGCUCCUUAUACACCUCAAUCUGAUGGAGUUGCUGAACGUAAGAAUAGAACUUUGAUGGAUAUGGUGAAUUCGAUGAUUAUUAGUUCAGGCGCACCCGAGAACUUGUGGGGGAAGCUUUAAUUUCUGCAUGUGUGAUUUUGAGUAGAAUUCCCCACAAGAAUUCUAAUGCAUCUCCCAAUGAGCUUUGGAAAGGUAGGAAGCCUAAUCUAAAUUAUUUUAAAGUGUGGGGGUGCCUAGCUAAAGUGAAGAUACCUGAGAAUAAGGAGAAAAAGAUUGGACCAAAGACUGUGGAUACAGCUUUUGUGGGUUAUGCACAUGAUAGCAAUGCAAAUCGAUUUUUAGUAAUGAAUUCUGAAAUUAGUGAGAUUUCUAAUAACACUAUUAUUGAGGCUAGAGAUACAGUAUACUUUGAGGAUGUUUUUCCUAUUAGAACAAGAGUAGAUAGACCUAUUCCAGCUGAGUCUAUAGGUAAUUCUAGUAAACCUAGAAUUAGUGAACCUAUAGAAGAGACUGAACCUAAGAGAAGUAAGCAUCCUAGAGUAGCGAAAAUUUUGGAGAUGAUUUUUGUGUCCUACUAGUAGAAGAUACUCCAUCUACCUAUAACCAAGCUAUGACGUCUGUAGAUGCAUCGUUUUGAAAAGAGACUAUUAAUCUGGAGAUCUAGUCUAUUCUACAUAAUCAUACUUGGGAGUUGACUGAUUUACCUUUAAGAUGUAAGUCUGUAGGUUGUAGAUGGAUUUUUAAGAAGAAGUUGAGAUCCGAUUGAUCUGUAGAUAAGUAUAAGGCUAGAUUAGUGGCACAAGGAUUUGCACAGAAGUCUGGGGUAGAUUAUUUUGAUGUUUAUGCUCUUAUUGCUAGGAUUACCUCUAUUAGAGUGUUGAUUGCCUUGGCCUCUAUCCAUGAUUUGAUUAUUCAUCAAAUGGAUGUUAAGACAGCAUUUCUGAAUGGUGAUUUGGAUGAAGAGAUUUAUAUAAAACAACCUGAAGGUUUUAUAGUUUCUGGACAUGAGAAUAAAGUAUGCAAAUUGAAUCGAUCUUUAUAUGGACUUAAGCAAGCUCCUAAGCAGUGGCGUUUGAAAUUUGACUCUUUGGUUGUAUCAAAUGGUUUUCAUGUAAACAUGUCUGAUGAAUGCGUGUAUUCAUGAAUGCGUAUAUUCGAAGGAGUAUAAUGGACAGAUAGUGAUCUUAUGCUUAUAUGUUGAUGAUAUCUUGAUUUUUGGUACUAAUAUGAAUGCCAUAAAUGAUGUGAAGAAAUUGUUAAAUGAAAAUUUUGAUAUAAAAGAUCUUGGGUAAGCAGACAUUAUUCUCAACAUGAAGAUCAUCAGAAAAUCAAAAGAAAUUAUUAUGAGUUAAUCCUACUACAGUGAACAGUUAUUGAAAAAGUUUGAAUAUUUUGGUGUUAAACCUGUAGUGACACCUUAUGAUUCUAGUGUGCAUCUUAAAAAGAAUAGAGUAGAUCCAAUAGGUCAAAAUAGAUAUUCACAGAUUAUUAGAUCCUUAGGAUAUUUGGUGGAUUACACUAGACCUGAUUUAGCUUAUGCUGUGAAUCGAUUGAGAAGAUAUACCCAUAAUCCAAAUAGAGAGCAUUAGAAUGCCUUAAAAAGAGUUUUGAGAUAUCUGAAGGGGACUGUUUCUUAUGGAUUAGAUUACACUGGUUUUCCUGUAGUAUUGGAAGGAUAUAGUGAUGCUAAUUGGAUUAGUGAUACUGUUGAUAUAAAGUCGACUACUGGAUUUAUUUUUCUUUUAUGAGGAGCAGCUGUUUCUUGGAAGUCAAUUAAACAAUCAUUGAUUGCUAGAAGUACUAUGGAAUAUGAACUUAUAGCCUUGGAUACAACUAUAGUAGAAGCUAAGUGGAUCAGAGAGUUUCUUUAUGAUUUACCACUUAUGGAGCGACCUUUAGCACCUAUAUGUAUUCAUUGUGAUUGCAAAUCUGCUAUAGAUAAGUAUGCUCAAGAGAAUGUGGAAACGAAAAAGAAUAGAUUCAUGAAAGUGAGAUAUAAGUUCAUUCGACAGAAUUUGAAGGAAAAUGUGAUUUGUGAAAUCUACAAAGAAUCUGGCUGAUCAGCUUACAAAGGGAUUAUCUAGGACAGUGAUCCUAAAAUCGUAGAGGGGGAUGGGGCUUAGCCCACAAUAGAAGUUACCGCCGACGGCAACCCAACCUGUUGCAGGUUCAAUGGGUAGAAACAAGUCGAACAGAUAGCUGUGAGGAGCACUGUUUUUAUAUUCUCAUCCCUAUAGCGACAGUGCUCUGUAAGUGGAUAGGAAGGGCAUUGGCCCUGAAUGGCUCCGAGACCUAUAAGGUAGGGUGUGACCUUGCAUAUACCCUUUGAGGACCUACUAUAUGUGUGGAAUCGUGAGGCCGCGACUAUGGAAAAUGGCGGUUCCCUAAAACACACACGAAGCGAUACUAGCGGAUGGCCAUAAAAGCGCUCACCCGUUUAGAACCUAUUCAGCUGUACCAUGUGUGUUGUUCGCGGAAAUCUAAUUCACCGGCUCUGGUUCAAGGCGUAGUCCACCAUUGUGCCCUCGGAUGUACAUUGACAAGCGCUAAGUGAAGGUUCAAAUUCGAAAGGUACCUUUACCGAAUACAUGGUAUAAAAGAUCCAGCAUUCUUUUGAAUUAUUUUGAAUUUCAGUUUAUUUCCUUUCUUUAUUUUAAGUUUUAAAUCAUGUGGGAGAAUAUUGGAUUUUAUUAGGUUUGUUAUGAUUUAAAACUUAUUAAAACCACUUGAUUGGGUUUCUUUAUUGGGUUUGUUAUGAUUUAUUCUUUCGGUUUUAUCUUUACUUUAAUCCUUAUUUUUAUCUUUAUCCUAAUUCUAAUCUUUAUCCAUAUAAUCUUAGGCUUAUCUUGUUCUACUCGGAUUUGACGCGUUGGAACAAGAUUCUCGCCUUAUGGGGCGAGGUUGUACGAGCUGAAUAAUAAUAACCCGAGCAUACCUAAAGCCUCUCGAUCGUCUUUUCCUGCUUUCUGAGUUUCCGUCGAGUUUUCUUUUGCUGGAUUUGAAGCUGGUUGGGUUCAUCUUACGCCAUCUUGAAAGCGUACCGACGAGGUGGAACAUGGUCAUUGUAUCACUAGGAGUAAUUGCUGGGAAGCCUCGCACGUGGAUGGGCAAUUUCGCUUCUAGGACAGUGCUCUAUACGUCUCGAUCCACAGGCCUUAUCUAAACCUUUUCUUUACCGUAUUUGUUAUUUAAUUUCGUUUCAGGAUUUUUCCUAAACCUGCAAUUAAAUUUUUGAAUUGAUUUUUAAAGAAUAUUGUAAUAAAAGAUCAGAAAGAUUUUCCAACAGCACUCACUCCACCCUCUACCGUACUACCACCUCCGCCCUUACACGCUCUUCCGCCGAUCAUUCUUAAAUCUUGCAACACCUUUAUUGCCGUCACCGUCUAUGGUCAUGCCCUUCACCACAACCUCACCUCUGCGAUUUGUACCAUAUCCGAUCCCACGAUGCUAUCAUCGACAUAGGCAGACACUACAACAGAAUUAGGUUAUAGGGACACAUGUUUGGGACACUUUUGAGUAAGUGUCCCAUUUAUGCUAAAACUUAAAAAAACAUCUACUAAUGCCUAAAUAUAAAGCCCAAUCCAACAAAAAAUAAAAGAUUACUCUACUCAACCCGCCACACCCAGUCCAUUUGGCCCGAUUACAAACAGAAAAGAAAAAAAAAAAAGAAAAAUCAAUUACCAUCUUUUCUUCUCUCUUCACUCAAUCCAUUGAAAUUCUAGACGAAGAGCCUUUCCUGUCGUCAUCCUCUGCCACCGCAGCCAACGAGAUAGAGUUUCGGCAGUUGCUAAAUGCUUAAAUAAGUGUUUGUAAAUUAGCAGCACUCUUUUAGGUUAUAGCGACACUCUUUAACUGUCACUAUAUACCUAACGACCCUAUAUAUAGCAACACUUUUUAAAAGUGUCGGUAAUUUUAGCUAGCAGCACUUUUUUGACAUGUACCUACAUUUAAAAGUGUCGCUAUAGACCGUUUUUGUUGUAGUGAGAGGUGUGGACAAGACAUAAGUGCAAUGGAGAAGGAGGAGAGAAAGAAAGUAGGAGAAGAAAAGGAAGAAGGAACGGUGAGAAGGAGAGAGAAAAAGAGGGAAUAGAGAAAACGGAUAAGAGAGAAAGAAGAAAGAAAGAAAAAUAAUGAUAUUUUGAUCAGUUUAGUAAAAAUUCAGACUUCAACAGCAAAACUCUUGUUUUGCAAAAAUGCAAAACCAGUGAAAUCUUUUAUGCAAAUUAGGCUAAAUUCUACCGUCAUCAAGUUUUUAAUAUUAAAAAAUAAUUAAUACAGUACAUGCAUGCGGUUACACAAAUGGUCUCAAAAAGGUAACCUAUUUACCACAAAUAGCUUAUCGUACGUAGUUAUUAUUCUCAUCUCAGAAUUUUUAGUGCUUUGGCAUUUAAUUCCAAUCAAAAAGUUCACCUACUUGAAUUAAAUAUUAAUAUAUGUAACGUGAUAGUGAGGUUAAGUAAUUUCUCCUCCAUAUUUUUAGUCACGUCAACAUGACGUAAACCCACCUAAAAUCCACUUGUUGAUUGAUCUCGGUUUGUAUAUAUUUAUAUAUAUAUAAACUAGCUAGCUAGGACUAUUUGUAUAUAAGCUAGCGCAUAUAUGCACGCACAACAACUUGUGAAUGAAUGAAUGAAUGAAUGAAUGAAUUGUUCUCAGGGAAUCGGGGGCCGGGGAGGACGCCGGUGGAUUGGGGGCUGCGAAUGCAGAUCGCGGCGGGGGCGGCGCGGGGGCUGGCGCACAUCCACCACGCGAGGCGAUCGCCGAAGCUGGCGCACGGGAACGUGAAGUCGACGAACGUGCUGCUCGACAAGGCGGGCAACGCGCGGCUCGCCGACUACGGCCUCGCGCUGAUGGUGCCCUCGGCGGGCGCCUCCCGCUCCGCGGGGUACCGCCCGCCCGAGGCGCCCCCGGCCGACGGGCGCCGCGCCUGGGCGACGCAGCGGGGCGACGUCUACGCGUUCGGCGUGCUGCUCCUGGAGCUGCUCACGGGGAGGCCUGCAGCUUCGGACAACGCCGGGGGAGGGGCCAUGGAUUUGCCGACAUGGGUGCAGUCGGUGGUCCGCGAGGAGUGGACGGCCGAGGUCUUCGACCUGGAGCUCAUGAGGUAUCCUAUCACUCCGCAAAACAAUUUUCAAAAUCAAUUUUCUAUCAUCUUCUUCAUUAUAUUUCUUUCAUAUGUUAAAUCUCCAUCACAUUUCUCAUCCACACGUCAAUACUGGUCUUAAUCUCUAUUUUUUUUACUGGUCUUACUAUAUACUUUUUAUUUAAUUUGUUAUUAGAUUGAUUCUUUAUUUAACAUAGAUCUGAUUUGAAGGUUCUCAGUUUCAGUCUCAAUCCAAUUGGGCCUCUACCCGCUUCGUUUAUAUUUUUUAGAAGAAAAUAAAUUUAACUGAAAAUGUGAAUCAAUUAUAAUUCGAACUUGAAAUCUCGUGUACCAAUCAUUAAACCUUCUGUCACUUGCGAAUCAAUUAGAAUUCGAGCUUGAAAUCUCGUGUAUCAAUCAUUAAAUCUUAUGUCACUUACGCUGGAGACGGUCGGUGCCCUCUAGUGUUAUUAAAUCUUCUUUUAUUUAUUUAAGUUAACAUCUUAGAUUUAACAAAACUAUUUCAAGUCUAGACUAAUAAAUCACUGUACUUUUAUAGUUUAAGUUUUUGAAUAUAAACUAUUAUUUUUUACAUAGAUCAUUUUGCAUAAUUAAUUUUCACAAAUUUUAAGAAACUUAAACAAAUUAAUAAUGUUAUUUUAAAUUUGGUAAAAUAUACGAAAUUUAUCUGAAUUAUAGAUUAUUUUAAUUUGACUAUUCAAUAUUUCAAAAUUUUAAUCUUAUAAUCUAAUCUUUUAUUUUUUUUUAUUUGAGUCAAUUAAUAAUAAUUUGACUAUAAAAUUAAAACAAAUUACUUAAUUUAAUAAAUUUAUAAUUGUAUAAAGGCUUAAUUAAACUCUACUAUAUUGUACUUUUGUGUUAUAUUUAUUUGCUAUAUUGUACAAUUUCUUUUUCAAAAGAUGCCCUUGAAUUAUUGUAUUUUAUCAAUCUUGAUAAUCUCUAUAUUGUACUUUAGACUUGGUCUUUAUUUUUCUAAUUUGUACUAUUUCUUCUUUUCAUAGAUAUUGCUUACCUGUUUUUUUCCUCACCAAUCUCUAUUGUUAACAAAUUUAUUAUUAUAAUAGGCAAAUUAUGACAAUUUUAUUAAGAGACACUAAUUAAAUAGUAGAAAAAAUAUAAAAUAAGUUUUUGAUAGACUCAUUAAAAAUUUCUGUAUAAAAAUAAUUUUUAUUUUUAUUUUUUUAAAUAUAUUUUUUAUUUUUUAUGUCAAAACGAGUUGAAUAUACGCUCUGUCAUCUUUAAUCAGUAUUUUUUUGAUAUUUUUUAUGUAAAAUAAUAAUUCUAUUAUUACUGAAAAAAAAAAUAUNGCGGUAGCACGGAGGCCUCCGUGCUACCAAGUUGUUUUCAAUGAUGUGGUGUCUAAAUCGACGAUCGGCUCCGUUAGACUUGAUCUAUACUAUUAAAAGUAUUUGAAAACUAAAUUUCAUAACUUUUCGACAUCAUUUGGCUAGUGAUCAAAAGAUCUCAAAAUUGACAAUUCUAAUGGUAGAUCUGAUGCAUUUGUGAAUUUAACGGUGUAAAACAAUUCAAAUCUGAUGAAAUUUUUAUAAAAAAUUCUUUUCACUAUUUAGAGUAAGAUCAGUAUCUCUGAUCUUAAAUUUAAGUCUUUUAUCAUCAUUUUUUAUAAGAUUUUUAUUUUCAGCCAUUCAUUUUUAGACUACUCGUUUGAUAGAUAAAUGAUACCGAAAAAUUAUAAAAUUUAGUUUCCAAAUGCUUUUUAUAAUGUAGAUCAAGUCUAAAGGAGCCGAUCGUCGAUUUGGAAGCCGCAUAAUUGAAAACAACUUGGUAGCACGGAGGCCUCCGUGCUACCGAUAGUAUACCAAACUAGCUAUAUAUAUAUAUAUAACCAAGUGGGGACCACUCAACCCUAGGGGGACCACUCAACUCUAAUUGACUAUUAUCAUCCUAACCUUACAAUUUUUCAUCCAAAGGUUAAAAACUUGAUAGUAAAAAAAACGUUUUACUAUUAAUAGUAUUCUGGCCUAAUUCUAUAUAGUUGGACUGGGCUACUAUUAGUAGCAAAAUCUCAUUAUUGCUACCAGUUUUUUAGCCUUUGGAUCAACUUUUUUUAUUAUUUCUAACCAUUGGAUUAAAUACUAUAAACCAGUGGGGACCACUCAACCCUACGGGGACCACUCAACUCUAACUGACUAUUAUCAUCCUAACCCUAUAAUUUUUCAUCCAAGGAUUAAAAACUUGAUAGUAAAAAAAACGUUUUACUAUUAAUAGUAUUCUAGNCUUAAAAAAAGUUUUAUUUUAAUAUAUAAUAAUAUACAUUAUUUGAGAUUAAAUUAUUGUUUAUAUUAAGUGCCUCUGUACGACAUUUUAAUAUAUAUAUAUAUAUAUAUAUAUAUAUAUAUAUAUUAUUACAUAUUUCAAUCCUACGUCUACCACCUAUUACGUUAUAAUUUGUCUCUAUAUAAAAAUUAAAUCUGUAAACUAAAAUUAUACGAGAUAAAUGAAGAAAUGUUACAUUUAUAAUGUAAGAAUAAACAUAUAAUCUAAGCAGGAGCAGCUAUUUUUAACCUAAAACAAGAACUAAAACAUAAUACUAAUAAUUAUAAAACCUUGUUAGAGCUCAAAAAUCAAAAGUAAUUCAUUAACAAAUAAAAUGAAAGCAACUCAAAGCUCAGGGACGAAUAGUGCAAUUUACCUGUCUAUCAAAAGAGUAGUACAAGAAUCCACACAUUCUAUGUAUCUCAUCAUAUUAGACACAUAAACCCAAAGUAAAACAGGAUCCAAUGAUAUGAUGCAAGCUUAGAUUAUUAGUUGAAAUGUCCUUUUCAAACACUGCGAAUUUCACCACUUGUGUCCUUUGAAAUCUUAGUCAAAUUUUAUACUGUUUCUCGGACUAUAAUUUUAAAAUUUAAGUUCUCAAAUUUUAAAUUAUUAGUCGUAUUUUCGAGAAGAAUUUUUUUAGUCGCCAAAUUUAUAUAUAUGUCAACACACCGUAAAAUCAUCAGCUUAAUUUUUAUUCAUCACACAAUUUUAAUCAAUUGGUUUAAAUUUCAAAUAUAGAAAAUCUAUAACUUCAUGGACAGUAGAAUUUGAAUACGAGAUAAAAGAUUAAUAAUUAAUAGAACAUACAUUAGUUUAUGAAUAUAGAGGUAUACCACAUGUGGCAGUAUUUUUUCGCUCUGAGUAAAGAGAAUUGAGACUAAAAUAAAAUAAAUUUUAAAGUUUAGGGUCUGAAACGUCGAAGCUAAGCUACGUACAUUUCAAACACCUGAGCUAAUACGCACAUCUUGUUAAUCAGGAGUCUUACAUGCAUGUAUAUAUAUUUACAUCUAUCACUUGAUGUUGAUGACAGACAUAUGACUAAGUGAAGUGCAUGUCUCAAAGAUAUCAACAUUUUGCUACAUAUAAAACAAUAUUAUACUAAUAUAUUAUAUUAUAUUCUCGUUUCGACCGACACGGAACUCAAAGCACGGCACAAUGACAAGUGGGUCUCGACUUUGUGGAAAUUAAUACGAUCAUCAUAUAUCAUAUAUAUAUAUAUAUAUAUAUAUAUAUAUAUAUAUAUAUAUAUAUAUAUAUAUAUAUGUGAUAUGAUAUGCUCAUUCAUGGAGAGAAGAAAGAGAGGAGAGAGACUGAGAGUGUUUGGUUGGCGGAUUAUAAGCCACGUCUAAGUGAUUAUUUAAGCGAUACGAAUCUUAGAUAUGUAUCCAUCACUAGCUACAUUACUUACACUUGUUGACUCCUAUCCUAGUUAGUGGAUUAACUAAUUAAUAUAUGGACUAGCCAUAUAUAGCUCUCUAUAUUGUAUUCUUCUUUAAAGCCCUCCAUAUAUAUAUAUAUAUAUAUAUAUAUAAUAUAUAUAUAUAUUGAUGAGAAGUGAGACGAGAGAGAGAGAGAGGAGAGAGAGGAGAGAGAGUUGUGUAUAAUAUAUAUUAUAUAUAUAUCACCUCUCUCUCUCUCUCUCUAUAUAUAUAUAUAGAAGAGAGAGAGAGAGAGAGAGGGAGAGAGCUCAGUAAGUGGCGGUAGCACGGAGGCCUCGUGGCUACCAAGUGUUUUCAAUGAUGUGGGUGUCUAAAUCGACGAUCGGCUCCGUUAGGGCAUUGAUCUAUACUAUUAAAAGUAUUUGAAAAACUAAAUUUCAUAACUUUUUCGACAUCAUUUGGCGUAGUGAUCACAAAGAUCUCAAAUUGACAAUUUCUAAUGGUAGCAUCUGAUGCAUUUGUGAAUUUAACGGUGUAAAACAAUUCAAAUCGUGAUGAAAUUUUUAUAAAAUUCUUUUCACUAUUUUGAGUAAAUCAGUAUCUCUGAUCUUAAAUUUAAGUCUUUUAUCAUCAUUUUUUUAUAAGAUUUUUAUUUUCAGCCUUCAUUUUUUAGACUAACUCGUUUGAUAGAUAAAUGAUACCGAAAAAUUAUAAAAUUUAGUUUCCAAAUGCUUUUUAUAUGUAGAUCAAGUUCUAAAGGAGCCGAUCGUCGAUUUGGAAGCCCGCAUAAUUGAAAACAACUUGGUAGCACGGACGGGCCUCCGUGCUACCGAUAGUAUACCAAACUAGCUAUAUAUUAUAUAUAACAAAGUGGGGACCACUCAACCCUAGGGGGACCACUCAACUUAAUUGACUAUUAUCAUCCUAACCUUACAAUUUUUCAUCCAAAGGUUAAAACUUGAUAGUAAAAAAAACGUUUUACUAUUAAUAAGUAUUCUGGGCCUAAUUACUAUAUAGUUGGACUGGGCUACUAUUAGUAGCAAAAUCUCAUUAUUGUACCAGUUUUUUAGCCUUUGGAUUAACUUUUUAUUAUUUCUAACCAUUGGAAUUAAAUACAUAUAAACCAGUGGGACCACUCAACCCUACGGGGACCAUCAACUCUAACUGACUAUUAUCAUCCUAACCCUAUAAUUUUUCGAUCCAAGGAUUAAAACUUGAUAGUAAAAAAACGUUUUACUAUUAAUAGUAUUCAGCUAAUUCUAUUAUAUAUAUAUAUAUAUAUAUAUAUAUAUAUAUAUAUAUAUAUAUAUAUAUUAAAAUCGAAACGACGAAAAAUAGAUCCAGAAAAAAUACUUAUGACUUAAUGCAGGAAAAGAAAACGAUAAGAAAAUAGCACAUUAACAUUUACGUGGUUCAACCAACGGCCUACGUCUUUGGACGAAAACGAAGCAAAUAAUUUAUUAAUGUCGAAAUGCGGAGUACAAGAAAAUCUCUCAAAGACCAAAACUUAAUUGGAUCAUAAAUGCCGAAAUCUGUAUCCAUACGAGUGACUCCAAAUAAGCGGCUCGGCUCCUCUCACCCGUACGGACCAGUCUUACUUGAUGUUCACUUAAUUAAUUAGCAUGACUCUUAAUUUGGUCGCAGCGGCUUCAUUAACAUGGUCGGCAUAUAUAUAGGAUGUGGAUUCAAAUUAGACUAAUUGGAACUAUAAUCUAAUUGGAUUUCUAAACAUAAGUCUAAUCUAAUUCAAUUUGAAUUAGAUUCCGAUUCAUAAUCCAUAUAUGCCAAAUUAAAUCUAAAUUACAUCUAAUCCCAAUUAGAUUAGGAUUUAACUUCAAUUUAGAUAAUGACAAAUCUAAACCAAAUUUAACAAUAUAUAAAGGAUUUUUUUUCCUGUUAUAAUACGAACAUAAACCUAACUAGGCUGGAAUACUAUCAAUAGCACCAAGCUAUUGUUGGUGCUAUUGAUGUUAUUAGAUUCUCGCCCUUGGAUGAAAAAAUAUACGGUUAGAAUGAUAUGGACCUCUAGGGUUGAGUAAGUUAUUGGUUUAAGAGCACAUGAGUAUUUGUGAUUGUAAUUUUUUAGCCGUCAGAUCGUCCUAAGAUCCGUAAAGUAGUAGUAAAAAAGAUUUAACGAGACAUUUCGUUAAUUAAACUGUACGAAUCUCGAUACGAUCUGACAGCUAAAAAAAAAUCAAAAACAUAAGUGCUCCUGUACUUUUAAAAGCUCAAAAACUCAACUAUAUAUAUAUAUAUAUAUAUAUAUAUAUAUAUAUAUAUAUAUAUAUAUAUCGAGAGAGAGAGAGAGAGAGAGAGAGUAGGACUACUAUACUCUUAUGAGUAUUGGACCCUUCGUACUCAUAAGUUAUUUUCGAUGAUGGAGCUUCCAAAUCGACAAUCCACUCCAUUAAAUAUGAUCUAAAGUAUUUGAAACUUAUAGAAAAUAAAUUUUGUAAUUUUUCGAAAUCAUAAUAAAAUCCAUCAAGCGGGCAUAAAAAGAAUGGUCAAAAUCGAAUGACGUCCUAAAAAUGGAUGAUCGGAUCCUUCAAUUUAAAAUCGGAGUUAUUGAUCUUUAUCUUGGUAGUGAAUAGAAUUUUCUAUCAAAAAUUCAACCUAUUCCGAUUCUUUUGCACGGUUAAACUAGCAAGUAUUCCAUACCGGCCGUUAAAAAUUGUCAAUUUUGUGACCUUUUGAUCGUAAGGUAAAUGAUAUCGAAAAAUUAUGAAAUUUGAUUUCUAGAAGUUUUAAAUGCUCUAGAAGAAGUUUAACAAUAUAGAUCGUCGAAUUGGAAGCUCUAUCAUUAAAAACGACUUAUAAGUACGAGGGCGAUCGUACUCAUAAGAGUAUAAUAGCCGGACUCUAUAUAUAUAUAUAUAUAUAUAUAUAUAGAGUCCGGCUACUAUACUAUAUAUAUAUAGAGUCCGGCUACUAUACUCUUAUGAGUACGAUCGCCCUCGUACUCAUAAGUCGUUUUUGAUGAUAGAGCUUCCGAUUCGACAAUCCUUACCGUUAAACAUUAUGUAAAGUAUUUAAAACUUCUAGAAAUCAAAUUUUAUAAUUUUUCGAUAUCAUUUACCUUAUGAUCAAAAGCUUACAAAAUUGAUAAUUUUUUACGGUCGAUAUGAGAUAUUUGCUAGUUUAACGGUAAAAAAGAAUCGGAAUAGGUUGAAUUUUUGAUAAAAAAUUCUAUUCACUAUCUAAAUAAAGAUCAAUAACUCUGAUCUUAAAUUGAAGGAUCCGAUCAUUCAUUUUUAAGAUUUCAUUCGAUUUUAAUCUUUCAUUUUAUACCUGCUUGAUGGACUUUAUAAUGAUUUUGAAAAAUUACGAAAUUUAUUUUCUAGAAGUUUCAAAUACUCUAGAUCAUUUUUAACGGUGUGGAUUGUCGAUUCAAAAGGCCCAACAUCGAAAAUAACUUAUGAGUACGAAGGGCUCUAUACUCAUAAGAUUAUAGUAGCCCUACUAUAUAUAUAUAUAUAUAUAUAUAUAUAUAUNUUAGUUUUAACUUUGUCACUGAUUUAAUAAAAAAAUUAGUUAAGGGGAUAAUAAAAAGAAAAAAAAAAUCACAGAGUAGAAAAGCGAUACAUUUUAAACUACAGGAUACUAAAGUAUAUGUGCAAAACUAAAGAAUUUGUAUUUGGAGUUUUUUCUAUUUUAAUUUUACUUCUAAUUUUUAGUUCAAAGAAAAAGUUUAUUGUAUAUUUAUCUUGCAUUUGUACGAUCAUAGUGGUGAAUUUUUGGAUAAAAAAUUAGAUAAUUGGUAUUCAAUAUCUCGAAGUUUGAGCCUAAUUAUUUUUUUUAUUUCAAGCUAAGUUUAUUUCUUUAAAAUAUUAACGAAGUGAAUAGUAUGCUUCAUUUCUCUCUCUCUCCAAAAUAAAAUAAAACUGAAUAGAUCAAAAUCCAUUUGAAAAAAAUAAUUUAAAACCAAAAUCAAACCAAUAGCAUGGAAAAACUAAACUUAUAAUCCAACGAAAUAUUUUGGUUUGUUUCAAUUUGAUUUGACGACUGAAGAUUUGAAUUCUUUGCCGACGAAAUAAAAAUAUUGCAUAUUUAAUCCUCUUAACUUUUUUUUUUUUUUGAGAAAUAGGUAGCACGCUACCCACUCCGUUUAUUUCAUUUAGAAAUAAACUUGGCUGAAAAUAAAAAUUAACUAGAAUUCGAACUUGGGUCUCAAAUACCAACUAUCAAGCUCUUUGCCAUUUACUCUAGGAACGAUCAGUUAUCCUAGUUGAUUCUCUUAACUUAAACUAUUUUAUUUUUAUUUUUUGUAUACUUUCAGAAGCUUGCAUUAUAUCUUGGAACUAUUUAAAAUAUACCAUGUCUUAACAUACCCAUAUCAUGAUCAGCAGUGAUGUCUUUAAAUAUUAUUGUUUUUUAUUAGUACAUUAGAAUUAUUUCAUCUGUUUUGGAUCUUUCUAUAAUAUUUUUAAUUUUUAAAUUAACGAAAAUGAUGAAGUAGAAGGAUAAAACAUUCUUUUAACCAAAAUUUGGUGUCUUUUAACUAGUCAAGUGAUAUAUUUAAAAAUGGCUAAAUUACAGAAAUUUUUCCCAUCGAUAUCAGUUUUUUCACUUUUUCAUAUUAUUUAACAACCUACAAUUUGUUCCAUUGUAAAAAAUGUUCACGCUUCAUCCCCUGUCGUUAGUGCUGUGUUAGGAUUUCGUUUAUAAAAUGUUAUUAUAUAUUUUUUAUACCAAAAAUAACCUCAUUCUCCUUUCCUCGCCGCCAUGCCCUCUGCUGCCUCGUCAUUUCCCACAUCUCCGUCUAUGCCGACAAACACCCCCUAGUCCUCCUCCGCCGCCUCGCGUUCGCUCCCGUUGCCCUUGCUCACCUCUCUAUCUAUGCCCACCUCGAUUUCUUCCCUAUUAUCGCCGAAAUGGAGGGGCGACGAGAGUGCAGGAGGAGAAAGAGAGUAGGUAAAGAAGAACUGCGACCGAUCGAGGCGCGAGAAAUGGAAGAGAAGAGGCGCCGGAUGAGCCAGAUGAGGGAGGAGACAAAAAUGAUGAGAGGCAAAUUGAUCAUUUCGUCAUCACAGUUCACACCGUUUCCCCUGUAAAUAUUUUUCAUUUUAUAAGAGGGCAAAGUGUAGAUUUUAAAUGACAUGAGGAAAAAGUGAAAAAGAGGAUAUUGACGAGAGUUUUAUGUAGUUUAGUCUUUAAAAAAUUUUCAAUUUGUACAAAUAUACGCCGUAGUUUGAAGUUUGGAGGAAUAAAUGUGAAAUAUGCUAAUUUUGUAGGGAUACAUCUUCAAUUGUUCCAUAUAUAUAUAUAUAGUGGAGUUGAGCUAGAAUACUCUCAAAAGCACCAUGGGUUGGUGCUUUUGAGUUUUUAGCCCUUAGAUGGAAAGAUGUAGGAUUGAGAUGAUGGUGGUAGAUGGUGAUAGGUGGAAUAGUGUUUGAUCCAAAAGCUAUUAGUAAUUAAGAAGUAAAUCCAAUGGCUAGAAAUAUAGAAACACCAAAGGAUUGGUGCUUCUAAAAAUAUUCUAGCUCAAUUCUAUAGAGUGGAUUUUAAUUUGAGUCAUAUGUUAUAUAUCACCCUUUCAUUUUCAAAAUGUGCAAAAAAACUCCUUUUUUUAUUUUUUUUUUAUCACAACUCCUGCUGCCGUUCUUUUUACUAUUUGUCAGGUGGUUGAAAAUUCUAUAUUUUGUUUGGAGGCAAUUUUCUUGGAAAUUACUUUUUUAUUUUCUAAUUUCUAGUUAUUUUGUGACAAAUAGAAAUAAGUGUAAAAUUGUGUUUGAUCUAAGAUUUUUUUGUUUAUGAGAAUAAUUACAAAGUUGUACUUUUUUUACCCAUUGAUAUAAACUCAAUAAUAAUUUUAAGGCUAAAUUACAGAAAGUUUCUUGUCAAUACUCGCUUUUUACUUUCCCCCCUAUCAUUCAAAAACUUACAUUUUGUCCCGUUAAAAAAUAAAAAAUGUUCACUUUGAUCCCGCCGUCAGUGUUUCGUUAUAGUUCCGUUUAUAUUCUAUUUUUUAUACCCAAAAUAUUCCUGAAACUCUUUUUCUUCCUCAUCCUCGGCCGCACCGCCUCGCCCUCCGCCGCCGCACCCUCGCCCACCUCUCUGUCCAUGCCCACACACAUACUCUCACCCGCCUCCGCCGUCUCACCCUCGCCCUCGCCCACGUUUCAAUCCAUGCCCACCCCCAAAAAAAUGAGGGGUAAUUUGGUCAUUUUAUUACAGCGUACCUUCCUGUGAAUAUUUUUUUAUUUUUUAAGACGGUAAAACGUAGGUUUUUGAAUGACAGAAAGAAAAGUGAAAAACCGGAUAUGACGGGGGUUUCUGUAAUUUAGCUUAAUUCUAAUCCACAUGGAAUUUUUUUUUUUCUAGAUAUUAUAUUUUAUAUUUAUUCCUUGGAUAGAGAGAAAUAAUCAAAAAAAUUUAUAUGUAGUUAAUAAAGAACUAAAGACAAUAAAUGAUAGCGAAUUAUGUAUUUAACAUAUUUAUUACUUAUAUAAUAAUUCAUAUUAUAUUACAUAGUAUCUUGCAGAAUAACAUAUAUACAAUAUAAAGGUUAUAACAAAUAUAAUAUAAAGUUAAAUUCAAACAUAUCCCUGCAAACAUAGUGAGUGAAAAAUAUAUUCCUACAAAGUUUAACUUUCAUACAUUAAUUGUCCCUAUAAAAAUUCUAAUAUUUUCAAAUAUGUCCUCUCGUUUGUUACUGUUAGAGAAUUAUUUAUAUUUUUAAUUUUGUCAUCAUAUAUCCCUCCAAAAACCAUAACAGUAUAAUGUAAGAGGGGUAAAAAUGUCAAAAAUUAAUCAUGGUUACCUCUCGUUUGUUACUGUUAGAAAACCGUUAGAAAACCGUUAGAGAACUGUUUAUAUUUUUAAUUUUGCCAUCAUAAAUAUAUCCCUCCAAAAAUCAUAACAGUAUAAUAUAAGAAGAGUAAAAAUGUUAAAAAUUAAUCAGGAUUAAGUAUUUAACCUAUGGUUAACUAAAUUUUUCUAACAGAUUAUAACGGCAGGAGCAUAUUUGAAAACAUCAAGACUUUCGCAAUGACAAUAUAUGAAAGUUAAACUUUGUGGGAAUAUAUACAUAUUUGUCAUUCACUAUAUUUGAAGAGAUUUGUAUGAAAUUAACCCUCUAAUAUAAUAUAACUGCGCUAAAAUACUUCUAAAAUUAUCAAUAUUUUGAUAUUUUCACAUCGUGUUUUGGUAUUCCGAAUCGACGUUCAAUAUCAUUAAAUUUCAUUUGUAUCUCGUAAACUUUUAUAAAUCGAAUUUCAUAAUUUUUUUAUAUUCAUUAUUUACUUAGUAAUUAAGUUGUCUCAAAUACACGUGAUAUACACGGUUAAAUUUAAAUUCAUAAACAUCUUAAACAAUAUAUAAAUAAUGUUGAAAAUUCAUGAAAUUUAGUUUUCAGAGAGUUCAUGCGACAUAAAUCGAUCAUCAGUUUUGAUGCCACGUCAUUAAAUACAAUGUGAGAGUACCAAGAGGUUGGUACUGCUGAAAAUAUUUCAGCUCAACUAAAUAUAAUUAUAAUAAAAGUAGCAAUAGUAGUUGCUGUAGUUGUUUUGUUAUUAUCAUCAUCAAAAUUAAUAAUAAUAGUAAUAAUAAUAAUAAUAAUAAUAUUAUUAUUAUUAUUAUUAUUAUUAUUAUUAUUAUUGUUUUUCUUAUAAAUUAUGACUAUUAUAUAACAUUGCAUGAUGUUUUAAUAUAUCUAAAUAUGUAAUAUGACCUUUAGAUGAAUAUUAUUAUUCUAGGGAGACCACUCAAUCCUAAGGGGGACCACUAUAAUCCCAACCCUAUAAUACUUAAUCCAAUGGCCAAAGGUCGGAAGCGUACUCUCUUAUACUUUCGAUAGCAUAGUCGCUCUACAAUGGCCAAUGGCCAAAAGUCGGAAUCAUCAACUCUCUUAUACUUUUGAUAGCAUAGUAAAUAGCUCACACUAUUUUCGAUAGCAUAGUAGCUCUACAAUGGCCAAUGGCCAAAAGUCGAAAGCAUCAACUCCCAUAUACUUUCGAUAGCAUAGUAGCAUACACACACACAUGCACACGCACAAGCAGGUGCGCAUGCACACACGCACGCACUCCCCCUUAUGCUUUCGAUAGCAUAUAGCAUAGUACCUCACACACACACGCGCGUGCACACACACACGCCCGCGGACACCCACCCUUAUACUUUCGAUAGCACGCGUACGCGCGCCCGCGCACACCCACCCUUAUACUUUCAAUAGCAUAGUAGUACACACACACACCCCCCCUUAUACUUUUGAUAGUAUAGUAGCUCACAUACGGGCGCGUGCGCACGCGCGCGCCCGCGCGCACACACACACACACACACACACACACACAUAUAUAUAUAUAUAUAUAUAUAUAUAUAUAUAUAUAUAUAUAUAUAUAUAUAUAUAUAUAUAUAUAUAUAUAUAUAUGAGAGAGAGAGANAUGAGAGAGAGAGAGAGAGAGAGAGAGAGAGAGAGAGCUAGGCUGGUAUACUAUCGGUAGCACAGAGGCCUCCGUCCUACCAAGUUGUUUUUAAUGAUACCGCUUCCGAAUCGACGGUCGACUCCGUUAGACUUAAUCUACACUAUUAAAAAUAUUUGGAAACUAAAUUUUAUAAUUUUUCGGCAUUAUUUAGCUAGCGAUCAAAAGAUCUCAAAAUUGACAAUUUUAAUGGUAGAUGUGAUGCAUUUGUGAAUUUAAGGGUGUAAAAUACUCCAAAUCUUAUGAAAGUUUUAUAAAAAAAAAAUUUUACUAUUUAGAGUAAGGUCAGUACCUCUGAUCUUAAAUUCAAGUCUUUUAUCGUAAUUUUUUAUGAAAUUUUUAUUUUCAGCCGUCCAUUUUUAGACUGCUCGUUUGAUAGGUAAAUGAUGCCAAAAAAUUAUAAAAUUUAAUUUUCAAAUACUUUCAAUAAUAUAUAUCAUAUCUAAGGGAGCCGAUUGUCGAUUUAAAAGCUGCAAUAUUGGAAACAACUUGGUAGCACAGAAGCCUCCGUGCUACCGAUAGUAUACAGCCUAACUCUCUCUCUCUCUCUCUCUCUCUCUCUCUCUCUAUAUAUAUAUAUAUAUAUAUAUAUAUAUAAUCACACUUUUCUAUUAAUUAUUUUAAUUAUAUUUAAUAAGCUGAGCAUAAAUAUGAAAAUAGCUCAAUUCCUCAAAAGAGGUGGAACCAUAGCGCUUUAUUCUGGGUAAGAUUUGACCGGAAUAGUUUUUCUGGACAUACAAAUACUUGAUUUUUCAAAUAAUAUAUUAGGGUUUUUUUUUCACUGAUGAUAAAUUUACAGAAUAUGGUUCUUAUGAUAGCAAAAAUCAAAAUUGAGGAUUUUGUACAUGUUUGAAAAUCUAGGAUGGUAAAAUACAGAGCAUAAUCAGAUAUGCGAAGUGAUUUUCUGUAAUUUACCCUUCAUUUCAUUUGCCAAUAAACACUCUUCGGGAGUUCCUUUUAUGCUAAUGCAUGUGAGCUUAUGUCUAGCUAACUCUCAAAAUACGCAGUUACAAUAUGCUAAUUAAUUUGUUUGCUUCAGUUUACUUAAAUAUAUCUAAGUAAGUUUAUGAUUCAAUCUUUCUUUAUUAGAUUAUUUCAAUCAUUAUUUAUUAGCUGGAUAUUAACUAUGAGAAACUAAAAAAACAACGUCAUUACGAAACUAUCUACCACAAUGUUCAAAUCCAAUUCAUCUUGCAUUUAAAAAUAGAUUCCAAUUCUACAUUAUCUCAUACAUCAAUUUUCAAUACCUGUAAGUUUCGUUUGGCUCAUAGUUUGUAAUAUUCUAGCUAGUAAUCCAAUAUACUUGCUAUUAAAAUAUUCAAAUCUUGCCAUUCAACUAAAAUUAAGCAGUUGCAAAAGAUGUUAGUGACGUAGUUCAAUUAUUAUACAUUAAUCCUAGCUUAAGGGAACAGUGCUAGCUAGAUUAAUAUGGAUUAGUAAAUAUUCUUAUUUUCAUACUUGAUGGGGAUUGUUAAUAGUCUAUUAAGAAGUAUAUACUAGCUCUUAAUAACCUCCCAACUCAACAAGAAGCUUGAUGAUUAAGUUAGUAAUAAACUUUCAUUACAAAUUAAUAUAAAAUAUAUAAUAUUCCAAAAAUAUUACAAAUCUUAAACUUCAAGAACUUAAAAUAAUUUAAGAAUGAUGUUCGGAUAGUGAAGAUUAAAUUAUAGUUAAACGUGAACAAUCAUUUACACGUACUUGUAGCAUUGUAACAUAUACGUACGUACACACCAUGCACGUAUAGGAAAACCACUUUUUCCUUGAAAGUAGGAAAAAUACUUUGAAUCUUCUUUUUAGAAUAUUGCUCUUACAAAAAUUUAAUAUAUUAGCAAUUUUUUAUAAUAUUUUAAGCUGCAGAUAUGUAAAUUAAUUAAAAAUCUGCACCUUAUUAUUAUUAAUAUAUUAACAAUUUAAUAUAUUAACAUCUUAUAAUAAUAUAUUAAAAAUUUGUACAUUCUUGCAGCUUUAUAGCGAAUUAUAUUAACUUAUUUUAGAAUCCAAAAAUUACUAUUUUCGAAUAUUAAAUACAGUAUUUGAAAAUAAAAGGGAGACUAAAGACUUAUUUCUUCUCUUGUUUCUGAACGAGAGAGAGAGAGAGAAUCAGUCACUCUCUACGUAUGGACCCCAGAGUCGGUAUAUAGUAUAUAUACAUCGUAUUCUACCAAAAGGGCAAAGAAAAGAAAAUGAAAUAAAAGAAUGCUUUUUUUUUGUCAAAAAAACAUAAAUUAUAUUUAAUGAUGUCAUGAUUUCGUGGGAGCAUGCGAGAGCCAGAAACAUCAUUCAAAACGCAAAGUAUUACAAAAAUUAAUAGAAAACUAACUAAAAUACCUUACACGGGUUAUCUGAAGUUCUUAACUCCCUCUCGGUCGGAGUCAACAAUUAACAAGUUAUAUAUCACGAAGAUUAAUUAAUUAAUUAAUUAAUUAAUUAUAAUAAUAGAAAUUAAUUAAUUAUCGACGUACGCUACGACCUCCGAGCUAGCGGUGCUAGUUGGAUACCGGCCGGUUCGGUCAAGACCCGGCCGGCGCGAGGCUGAGCUGCAGGUCCAAUCCGCCGUCCGCCGCGGCGCUGGUCGGCCCCACCGGGCUCCCGGAGGUCCCCGCGCCGACUCGGUUGUAGGCGAACACCGCGGCGGAAUUUGACGGCGGCAGCGGUGCUGGGGAAUUCGGAAACACGCAGCCGUGCGACACGUGGAACGGCGCAGCGGCGGCGGUGCCGCGGGAGAAGUAGACCCAGGAGGCGGCGGAGACGGAGGCGGAGGAGUCGGCGGGGAGGAGGUGCGGCGGGGGGGCGAAGGCGGAGGCCAUCGGGUUGGAGCGGGGGAAGAGCUCCCCGGCGGCGCCGCCCGGCCGGUAUGCGGAGGAGGCGGCGGCGGCGGCGGCGGCAGCGGCAUGCAUCUGGGCGCGCUUCAGCUGCUGACGCUCCUUCUUGUGGGCGUUCUGGUGCCCGCCCAGCGCCUGCGAGUUCGCAAACUCCCGGCAGCAGUACUGGCACUCGUACUUUCGCCCGUCCCCCGCCGUCGCCGUGGUGAUCGACGACGACGACGACGGCGACUCCGAAUUCCCGAUCCCCGCCGCCGCCGCCUCGUCGUAGUCCUCCGCGGGCACCUGAAACCCGAACAGCUUCACCCUGGAACUGCUCAUCGUGGAUAUAUUAAUAAGGCCUCGAGCUCGAGCAACGACACUUGGGAAAGAAUUAAAGAUAGAAGAGGAAAUAUGGAAGAGGGAGAGGUGCACAACUGGAUACCGAGGUGAAUGAUUUGAGUAGUAUAUAUAUAAUAUGAAUAAUAUGUAUGGCGAUCGAAGGAAGUAAAAAAAAAAAAAAAGAAAAGAAAAAGAAAAAUAAAAAGAAAUAGGGAGAUAGGGGAUGAGAACACAGAAAUAAUGUAUUUGUGGGGGAACAGAAUCCACUGAGAAUGAGGGGAGAGGGGGGGUUAGAUUGCGCCUAUAAUGUUGGUCUCUGCAGCUAAAGUCGUUUUAUAUUCGUGGAGUGUGGCUUAUUUAAUAAGCUAAUAUGUAACUACACAUAUAUAUAGCUCUAGUCUCUAGUAGAGACAACGUAAUGUAUGUAUAUGAUAAUGGUGUGAUGUAAAUUUGCGGAUAAGUAUAAACAUGCACUAAACUGCACCAUUAGCCACUGGAUAGAUAACCAAAAGUUUACUUACUUUGACCACCACUGCCCAGAACAAUAAUUUAUACUCUUUACACAGAGACGAGAGCCCACCAACUUGGGUUGGAUCUCACUUCAUGUUCAUGUUGGAACUAGCUAAUGUCCCGCACGAUACAGCGAAAAAAUAAUAUUUUAAUUAUUUUUCAUAAUAUUUAUUUUUUUAUGUUCUGGUAAUUCAAAAUAUAAUUGUUCUAUAUCACGACCAUCAUUUCUUUGUCUCUGGAAUAAAUCUUUUGCUGUACUACAAUGUAAUGUACGGAAUUUUCUAAAAACUAAUUAUUUUAUUAAUAUUUUUUAACUUUUAAUAUUUAUAUAGUGAAGGUAUUCUAAUAAUUUUAUUUAAAAAAUUAAUUAAAUUUAAUAGUUUUGAUAUCUAUUUUAUAAAUAAAUUUUUUUAACUAAAACGCUAUAGUUUUAACUUGUUAAAACUAAACUUUAUUUAUAUUAAAGUUAAAAUCAAAUUAAAGAAUAUAUAUAAGAAUAUCUUAUACACCGGGUGCAUAAUUUUGUAAGCACUCAAGUGCAGCAAUAUUAAUUUCUGUCUACCAGCUACCACCGAUAAAACAAUUAGAGCCAAACAAAUAUAUAUUGCAAAACAGAUCUAAAAAAUAAAUUAAAUAAUAAUUUGUAUCUAGACUGUAGCAAUAAUUUCGAAAGUGUACCUAUUUUAUAAGACCCAAACAAAUGUCAAAUCAAGGAUCUAGAAUAACGGUAAAAAUCUAUUAAUUUUUGUGUAUAAAUUUCUUAUUAGAAAAAAUUUCAAAUACCAUCCAUAUGAUUUCGCACUUUCUCACUUUAGUACCAUGUGGUUUAAAGUGUAUCAAUUUAGUACCAUGUGUAGGGAUGCAAACGGGGCGGAUCCGGGGGGGGGGAGAGUUCCCCCACCUCCCGCUCCAUUUUUUAUCGGGGCGGGGCAGAUUCGGGGCGGGUUACUUUUCAUUUUAUUUUUGGCUCCCACUUACCGCUCCAUUCGAGGCGGAUCGGGGCGGGAGCCGGAUUUUUGACAGAUCGGGGCGGAUUGAAGGAAGAAAAGAGUCUCCCACCUCCCGCUCCAUUUACUUGGCGGAUCGGGGCGGAUUCGGGGCGGGUUAUAUUUUUUUAUAUUUUUUGUUCCCACUUACCACCCCAUUUGGGGCGGAUCGGGGCGGAGCUCCACCAACCCGGAUCCAUUUGCAUCCCUAACCAUGUGGUUUUAUUUUCUCUUUUUAUUAUUCAUUCCACUAAUUUUUUUCGUUAAAUCAGUAACAAAGUUAAAACUAAAUGGUACUAAAAGUAAAUAUAUUCAAUAAACCUAAGUGCAGCAUCUAAAGUUUUUUUGUAUAUAAUUUAACGAAAUAUUAACGGAGAAGCUGUUGAGAAGAGAAAAUGAAACCAUAAGAUACAAACUUGAUACACUUUAAACCACAUGGUACUAAAGUGAGAAAGUGCAAAAAUAUAAAGAUGGUAUUUGAAGUUUACCUUUUUUAUUAAUUAUAGAUUGUAUAUGAAUAUGUUUUAUACACUCGGUGUACAACUUUUUUACACCGUAUGAAAUUUUAAUUUUCUUAUAUAGAUCAUUAAAAAUUGGGUUGAUCCAUGCAAUAAAAUUUUGCACUUGGCGUAGACAAAAAUAAAAAAGAAAAAGUGUUGAGAGAAAAGGUCACGUCCCGCAUUCCUCGUUUUCCCGGGCACGCUAACAGACCCGCCGUAUACAAAAAAAAUUUUCUUGUAUACGUGUGACACCCUAAUAGUCCCACAUCGGAUGGGAAUGGGGUUGUCAUUGGGUUUAUAAGAGACUUAGACACUAGUAAUAAUAACUGGGCUUAAGCAUUUUGGGCUGUUGGUUUGGGCCCAACGAGUUAUUGUUGCUAGUGGGCUGGGUCGUUACAUUUGGUAUCAGAGCUGGUUCACCAGCCGGAAAUGUGUGGCGAGUCUCGGCUGAGCCAGGGUCUGAAAGACAAGGUGGCUGACUCUGCCAGGGUCUGGAUGACAAAGGCUAGCGAGACGAGUCUCACAUCGCCUGGUGAUCUUGGGCUGUGUGUGUGAUUGGACUGACGAGGACGUCAGGGCCUUAACGGGGGGAGUCUGUGACACCCCAACCACAUCGGAUGGGAAUGGGGUUGUCAUUGGGUUUAUAAGAGACUUAGACACUAGUAAUAAUAACUGGGCUUAAGCAUUUUGGGCCGGUUGUUGGGCCCAACGAGUUAUUGUUGCUAGUGGGCUGGGUCGUUACAAUACGAAGCGAAGCUGUAUAUGUACCUGCAAUCAUACAAUACUACAAGCAGUAGUAUAGAGCUGUUAGAAAGGAACAAAAUAUAAAUAAAAACAGAAGUUCACUAUAUAUAUAUAUAUAUACAUAACAUUCAGACAUACAAAACGCUCGCUCAAGCGAGAUACAACAUAUGUAUACGAACUCAAAACCACCACUACCUGUAGCUGGUAUACUCUAGAUCAGCAGCAACUGGGAAGGGAUCUAACUCGCGACUCCCUUUCCACGGUCCGAAUCAGCAGCAGCAGCACUUGAAGAAGAAGGCUUUACAAAAGAUUCCAACAACUGGGCGUGAGAACUACUGCAAAAAGAAGCAGUCCUCAGUGGGUACCGCUACCGACCUCAACGGCUCGCCCACUAAGUCUACAGAUGUAUGCUCAAAUAAUAGUAAGAAAACUGAAAACAAUCUAUAGCUACAUGCCACUAUACUACCAUGAUUCGACACUACUAUCUGUAGAAUAAAACACGCUCUGACCCAACUCACUAAGGACUGUAAAUAUAUCUGUCCCAGGAACUGUGAAUACACCCAUCCCGCCUGUCGAAGCUAUACAGCUACCUCCACACUAAGCAGUCCGUGGAGAGCAAGUCCAAACAAGACACAACGACACCAACGUGAACGCACAAAACCCGACUACGGAGUGGCACUCGUGGGCGCUACCCAACCGAGUAUGUAAGCGUAUCUCUGUCGAGCUCAAUCAGGCUCUCACAGGCUAUAGUCAAAUAAAUAGGGUCUAAAGAUCCAACUCACGUGCCCUCGACACAAUCUAAUACAAAAACAACAAUCUGGGUCCACCGUCAAUCCCGACGGCACCCGACAAUCCGGAACAGCCUAAACACUGCUGUAAAAUAUAAGCUCGGUAUCUCAGCACGAGCAUAAUUAUAUUCUACACUAUCCUGGGUAUCCACCGCCCACAAACUACGGUGAAAUACUCAAACUACGGCUCCUAGAGCUAAAUCUGAUAGUUUAAGCAUAUGACGGUGUAGAAUCGCUGGUUUUCUCCUAAAUCAUAUCCAAGGCCAACAUGUAUAUAUAUAACUAACAUAUUAGGCUCCAAUUCAGAUUUUAAUCAUGCUAAAUCAAUGAAUCGGGCAACUAUAAUAUGCUAAACAAAACGACGAAUACAUAUCGACUAUAUUAACUUAGAAGGAAAUCCGCAGAAUUCGGUAAGCAUCACAUUUAACCCACCUCUCGCGCAACUCCACGGCAGCAAUAAGGUCACGAAAACACCAAGAGGCUCAGCCGAGAUCACUCUGCAAUAACCACAAUACUUCUCCAAGGCUCUACACAUCAAGGAUACUAUAAUUCCAUCAAUCAUAAGAAAUUCAGCACUUAAGCUUAACUUUUCCCCAAUUACAAUGCUAACUUCACCUUCCAAGCUCCAAUUCAAGUGAGAAGAAGUUCCAACAGCAGUGUACUAAGAUGGAAUAAUAUCCUCUGGUCUAAAACCAAUCUCCUCUCAAGAUCUAAACAUGAAACAUCAAAGUUGCAUCAAUAAUCCCAAAUUUCAGCACUUAAGCUUAAUCUAACAACUUCAAUGUCACAACUCACCAAUCAAUCCCCAAAUUCACAAUUCAAAUGAUAAACACCUUCCAAAGCCAGUAGGGAAAGGUAGUGCAACUUCCACUGGUCAAAAAUCCAGCACUCUCCACGAAUUGCAUCAGGAAAAAUCCCAAAAACUCAAAAUCAACCUCAAUGCAGCAGCAGACCAGAAAAAUAGUAAUUCGACCAUACUAACCUCAAUCAAAUUCUGUCAAAUUGGGCUCCACAGAUUCCUCCGGAAGUCUAAAAUCCAGCAAACCAAGUUUCGUGGUAAACAGAGCUUUCUACGUCACACACGAGCUAAAACACCGAAGGUCGCUGCAGAAAAACUGCUAGAACUGCAGCCUUCAAUAUGGAGAGUGAGCAAUUGAUGAAAAUUGGAGUAAUUUGAGGUGUUAGAUGCAAUUCUAAGCCUUUACUGUGAAGAGAGGAUAAAAAGAGUUCACUGGGGACGAACUCCAGCUAUUUAUAAGGUGAUAGAAGCGUCCAAAAAGCUUCAGGAACACAAGCUGCUAACUUGAUCACCUUGCAGAAAAGGCCACUUUCGGGCGCCCAAAACUCCCCUCUGGGCGUCCGAAACCUCCAGGCUGCACAAGUCCACCACUUCGGUUCCUCCGCCCGCGGUAUGCUGUUCCCCUAUCGUGGUCCGGCGGAUCCCACCUACCACAAGCUACGUGUCAACUCAAACAAUAUUCACAAGGUGACUUUUCAGACCCAAUUCUGGGCGCCCGAAACCAGGACCCGAAUUGGCUUCUAGUUCUGAUCAGUUCUGCACUCAAGUUCUGGGCGACCCAAAUCCAGUUCUGAGCGCCCGAAUCUGGUAAAACUCCAGUUUUGCUUAUUUAAAUACGCCAAGUCCAUUUAUGCAUCCAUUUCGUGUAGAAAUGACUCCGACUCAGUCCGACACUCUCUAGAUGUGUCGACCAGUCACUAAUACUGUAACCAAUCCUAUCCAAACCUCAGGAACACUACAGAAAAAAAAUAAAAAAAAAAAAAGGAUUGUAUAUGAUCAUAUCUUAUACACUCGGUAUACAAUUUAUUUUACACCAUAUGAAAUUUUAAUUUUGUUAUAUCAACUAUUAAAAAAUAGGGUUGGUCUAUGCGAUAAAAUUUUACACUUUGUGUAAACCUAAGUGGGGCAUCUAAAGUUUUUUUAUACAUAAUUUAAUGAAAUAUUAACGGAGGAGCUAACAAAAAGAGAAAAUAAAAUCAUAGGAUACUAACUUGAUACACUUUAAACCAUAGAGUAUUAAAGUGAAAAAGUGCGAAACUACGGAGGUGGUAUUUGAAGUUUACACUUUUUAUUAAUUAUAGAUUGUAUAUGAGCAUUUCUUAUACACUCGGUGUACAACUUUUUUUAUACCGUAUGAAAUUUUAAUUUUUUUAUAUCGACUAUUAAAAAAUAGGGUUGGUCUAUGUAAUAAAAUUUUAUGCUUGGUGUGGGUAAAAGUAAAAAAGAAAAGGUUUUGAGAGAAAAAAAAUUAAAAAAAGAAUUGUAUAUGGGCAUAUCUUAUACACUCGGUAACUUUUUUUAUACCUUAUGAAAUUUUAAUUUUGUUAUAUCGACUAUUGAAAAAUAGGAUUGGUCCCUACGAUGAAUUUUAUAUUUGGUGUAGACAAAAAUAAAAAAGAAAAAGUGUUGAUAGAAAUAAAAAUAAAAAAAAGGAUUGUAUAUGAGCAUAUCUUAUGCACUCGGUGUACAAUUCUUUUUAGAUUAUAUGAAAUUUUAAUUUUGUUAUAUCGACUAGUAAAAAAUUUAAAAAAUAAUUGCAUAUGAAAAUAUCUUAUACACUCAGUGUACAAUUUUUUUUUACCCCAUAUGAAAUUUUAAUUUUGUUAUAUCGACUAUUAAAAAAUAGAGUUGGUGCAUGCAAUAAAAUUUUACACUUGGUGUAGGUAAAAAUAAAAAAAGAUAUUGAGAGAAAGAAAUAAAAAAAAAGGUAUAGGAUGUGUGAAGAGAGGUAGAGAGAGAGAGAGAAAAAAAAAAAAAAAAAAAAAAAAAAAAAAAAAAAGCAGACCCCAUGGAGUAGGAUGUAUGGUAUGGAUACCCGAAAUUUAUUCGAAUCCGACCCGAAUGAAACGGAUAUUACUCCAAUGGAUAUGUAUAUGGAUUCGGAUAUGGAUAUAAAAAAUAGAAACCUGACAGAUAUGGAUUCAAAUAUGGAUUUGAUUGUACCCGACCCGAACCUGAACCGAACCCGAACCCGACUCGAACCCGAAUUUAUUUUGUAUUAUAUAAUAUAUAUAUAAUAUAUAUAUAUAUAUAUAUAAUAUAUAUAUAUAUAAUAUAUAUAUAUAAUAUAUAUAUAUAUAUAUAUAUAAUAUAUAUAUAUAAAUUGAUGUUAUAUUUGAAUUAUAUUUUAAAAAUUUAGAUUUAACAAAUAUUUUGAAAUAUUGAAAAAGAAAUAACUAUUUCGGGUUCAAAUUUUUAGGUAUGGUUCGGGUUCGGGUUCGGGUUCGGAGUCGGGUUCGGAUUCGGGUUUUAAAAAUUCGCUCCAAAUCCAACCCGUGACAUCUCUACCAUGGAGGAGGGGCCCGCGUACGCUCUGCGUUUCAAUUCUAUGUAUAUAUAUAUAUAUAUAUAUAUAUAUAUAUAUAUUAGUAUAUAGAAACGUAUGAAUGUGAUAACUUAUUGCAAUAAAUCUUAUACCUAAGUUCAACAAUUAAUUAAUUUAACAGUGAUGGUGUAGCAGUAGUAUGCAGCUGAAUUAUUGUUAUAUGAUCACAAGGAAUAUUAAGAUUCAACUGUUACAACAUUAGCAAAAUUGACAUGGCAAUUUGAUUAAGAAAAUUUUAUACUCAUGUAAAUGUUGUGUGUUGUCCAAAUGACUACUCCAUUUUUUAUGAAAAUUUCAAUAAAAUUUAAAAAUGUGACAUAAUUGAAACUGGAACCGGCCGAAUCCGACAAAGUAUGAACUUGAAUUCAACGAUGUAUCUCUAUCAAGUUCUAAUUCGAACAUAGUUACUAUGUUACCGACCGUUCCUAACGCAGCGACAAAAAGUUUGAUGAUUGGUACUCAAAAUUUCUAGUUUGAAGCUUAGUUGCUUCACAUUUCCAACUAAGUUUAUUUUCUUCUCUCAAAAAAAAAAGUUACUACUAGGGGUGGUAAUUCAGCCCACUGUUCGCAAGCCAGCUCGUGUUCGGCUCGAAAUGAGCUCGCAGAUCGAGUCGCUCAUUUAAUAACAAGCCAAACACGAGCUUAUUUUUUUAGCUGUUUAAUAAACGAGCCGAACACGAACUGGGUCAACUCGCUCGUAUUCUGCUUGAUAACAGCUCGAAUACAUAUAUUUUAUAUUUAUAAAUAUAUAUAAAUAUAUAAUUGAUUUUUAGCUUAACCUAAAUAUAAAAACCAACUCAAUUAAAACAAGUUAUUUAUAUGUAAAAUUUAACUACUAGAUCAAAGUUAAUUAAGUAAGAUUUCAUAAAUUUAUUUUCUAUACGUAUUCUUCAUAAUUCUUUUAACUUAUUGUUCAUAAGUCAUCUCGUGUUCAGCUCGUUAAUGAACGAGCCGAACACGAGCCGAAUUUUUCGGCUCGACACUUCAACGAGAAACUCGUGUUCGGCUCAUUUAUAAAACGAGACUGAACGCGAGCGGCCUCAACUCGCUCGCGUUCGCUUGUUGACACCCUAGUUCUACUCUAUGUUGGUUCACAAUUUAUGCCUAAAUGCGGCGUUGUGUUCAGCUGUGGAGCUUGCCGACAGUCUGGAGAAUGUCGGGACAAGUCCGAGUCGCGUUCGCGUCAAAUAAAUGUAAAACGGACUCCGUGCGACGCGAGGGCAGCUUAUAGCGAAGAAAUCUGCAAAACUGCAGAUUUCUCUGCUUGCUGUACCGGUAAACCAGCGUGGCUGUACCGGUACAACCAUCGCGCAGAGGAUUAGCAGCUCCCAGGUUAGCUCUUGUACCGGUACAAGAGCCCGUGUACGGUACAAGGGGGUAGGUAGAGGGUUAAUUUGGUAAUUCCCUCCUCGUUUGUUUCACCCCUCACUCCCCUCUAUAUAGCUUCGUGUAGAGAGAGAGGAGAGAGGUCUUCUUGAUGCAAUUCUCCUCUCUCACUCUCACUCUCAUCCGUUGAAGGCUUAGGAGCUCGUUGGAGUUUUGUCUGCGCGUCGUCGCGCGCGAGGCCAUUCGAGCUUGUGUUUGCGCCGGGGUAGCGCCGUGGAGGCCAGGGAGCAGGUAUUUUCGCCGUCUUGCUGUCACUCGGUGCUCGGCGUUGUCGAGGUGGGUAUUUCAUUAAUUCUUGAUUUUUAGACAAGUGUUUACUAUUUCUACUCAGAUAGUUAUUGUUUGCUGAAAUCACCGUCGACUGUUAGUAUUUUAGCUCGUUCUCGAGUAGGAGCAUCGGAUUGCGACGAGACUUGGUUCGUUGGAUUCUGGACUUCGAAAGGAAUCCAUGAACCCUUACCUGUGGUUUUUGGUGAAGGUUAGCUUUGUCUAAACCCUUCUCUUCUUGCUGCUGUAUUUUUGGACUGAAUGGGGAUUUUCGACGUUGAUAGCUUCGAGUUAGCGCAAUUCUUGGGUUCGACAGGGCUACGAUCGACCAGCAGGUGGCCGCACAGCUGUGAGAGUGUAGCCGCUGCCAGGGGAUACCUUUCGAGGUGGGUUUACAUCAGUUUAUUCCUAAGUACCGUAAUCGUCGACAUGUAUGAUUUUUCAGUUCGGUAAUCAUGUUGUAGCUUGAUAUUCGUGAUGCUAUCCUGGAUAAAAUCAGUAUUGAGAACAUGACGAGUAAAUCUUAAAUGUACAUGUUGGACUGGGAUUUCACUUAGGAGAAAAUACGAUUGGAAUCGUCAUAUGCUUAAACUACCAGAUUUAGCUCUAGGAGCCGUGAUUCGAUUGUAUCGUUGCGUAGCAGUGCGAUAGAUACCUGGGGUAGUUUAGAAGGCAUUUACGCUCGUGCUGGGAUGCCGAGCUUAUUUUUCAACAGAGUUUAGGCUGUUUCGGGUCGUUGGGUGCCGUUCGGGUUAGCGGUGGACCCAGAUUCUUGUUUUGCCCACAGAUUGGCCGAGGGCACGGGGUUUGGUUUGUAGACCUGUUUUGACCCUGUUCACUUGACUUUGGCUAGUUGGAGCCUGAUUGAGCUCGACAGAGAUACGCUGCAUAUCGUUGGGUAGCGCCACGAGUGCCACUCCGGAGUCAGGCUUUGUGCUUUCGCGUUUGUGUCGCUCAUGCCAGUUGGACUUGCUCUCCACGGACACAGUUAGUGUGGAUAGAGCCCGAUAGUCGCAACGGCAGGACGGAUGUAUUCACAGUCCGGGGACGGGUAUGCUUACAGUCCCGGUUGGUGGUCAGAUUUGACAUUUCUACAGUUGGUUAGUGUAGAGCAGAUGUGUAGUGAUCGAUAGCGGUAGAGUUACUUCAUGCUUUUCUGACUACUCUCGCUCCCUUCUGUAGACUUAGUGGGUGGACCGAUGUUGUUUUGGGCGGUACCCACUGAGGACUACUUCUUUUUACAGUAGUUCUCCACGCCCAGUUGUUAUCCAUGUUUUUGCAGAGCACAGUUUCGGCUGCUGCGCUUCUCGCGGAUCACGAUCGAGGCAAGGGCGUCGCGAGUUAGAGCCUACCCAUCGUCUGAGCUAGAGAUGCCCUACUGCAGGUAGAUGUUUUGUUUCGAGUUUCUGUACAUAGUAGACUUAACUCGCCAGUGCGAGUAGCUCUGUAUUUUGGAUUUGGACUAUGUAUACGAAACUCAGUUUGUUUAGCUUCUGUUUUCUCUAGCAGCUCUCUACUACUGUUCGUAGUAGUGUUUGAUUUACAGGUACACUGUCGCUUCGUAUACAGAAAAAUUUCUUUGUAUACGGCGGAUUUGUCGCGUGCCCGGGGAACGGGACAUCCGCGGGCGUGACAGUGUCGCGUAUUUUGGAUUUGGACCAUGAAUACGAAACUCAUUUGUUUAGCUCUGUUCUCUAGCUCUCUAACUACUUUACUGUCGUAGUCGUGUUUGAUUUACAGGUAAGCUGUCGCUUCGUAUACAGAAAAAAUUUCUUUGUAUACGGCAGAUUUGUCGCGUGCCCGGGAACGAGAACAUCCAAGGCGUGACAGAUUAAGUUUGUAUCAGAGCUUUGCUAUAGGUCGUUAGGACCUAGGAAACCUAAGUUUGGCAAACCUUAGGAAAGCAAGACGCGAGAGGCGUAAUUUAUUGCGAAAGUCAAUGAUUAUUUGUUCUAACUCCUCCUAGAGUUGAGUGAGUGACUGAAGAGUGUCUGUUUUGGCUGAGAAAUUAUGUUGGCUGCAGACGACAUAAUUUUGGAGGGAAACCAGGGACGCCUUCCAGACUUUCGUUGAUUGGGUCAAGAGUGUUUGUGUUUCAACUGACCCCGAUCUAUUCUUGCAGCUAUGUAUCGUGCCGAGGUCGACCGUCGUUGCGAGAGCGUGCCAGUUGGCGCGGGAUCGUGCGGGAUCCCUGAGAGACCUGAGCAGAUGGAGCAGAGUACUCGGCAGGAGCAGGGUGACAGACAGAGGCGAGUGCACCUCGAAUGAGUAGAGCAGAGGGCCGACCGAGGCUAGCGCUCCCUGAUCUUAGUGCACAGUUGGCUGCCCUGACUGAGGUGACGAGGCAGCAGGGGGAGUUAUUGCAGAGGUUGUGUGAGAAGAUAGCUCAGCCACCGAGUUCAGUACCGAGAGUACCAGAGUCGCCAGUUCCACCCCCGAUUACUCCAGUGACCGCACUAGCUGCAGCAGUUCCUCCGUCGGCAGCAGUUCCAGUAGCGCCAGUUGCGUCUGCUAGGGGGCGAGUACCGUUGACUGAGGCCGAGCAGGAGCGCUGGACGGAGAGGUUAGCACGUUUUCGUCGAUUUGACCCACCGAUCUUCGACGACAGAGGCACUGAGGCCUGGAUUGUUGAGGGAUAGGUCAGUGCGAUGGAGAAGUUAUUCAAGAAUCUGUUCGUUCCAGAGUGGGAGCAGGUACCUUUGGGAGUACACUGUCUGUCAGGUGAUGCACAUGAUUAGUGGCGCAGAGCGAGGCGAGACCAGGGACUGGUGGCGACACAGUUGAGGUGGGAUGAGUUCUGUGGAAUGCUGUAUGGGAUGUAUUUCCCCAACAGCAUGAAACAGAAGAUCGAGGAGGAUUUGAAGAGGAUCCAGCAGGGUGAGCGGACAGUUCAGGAGUAUGUUCGGAAGUUUACUAGGCUCCUGAACUGUGUUCCGUUCGUGGCCAGAGACGAGGCACAUAGGGUCUAUUUGUUCGAGCAGGGUUUGAGACCCGACCUAUUCAGGUUCGUUAGAGCGCAGAGGUCGAGGACUUUGGAUGCAUCCAUUGAGCAGGCAUUAUGGGAGGAGAGAGGAGAGGUGUCGCUGCGGGAGAGGGCUCAGGGGCCGGGACAGAGUCAGGACAGGAAGCGCCCAGCUCCAGACGACGGAGGUCAGGCGAGUAGCAGGCUCCCGCCGAGGCCUCCACGAUCGCGUUCGCAGGGUCGAGGAUCCUCGGGGCGUCAGCGAUCUAGGGAUUCUCGUCAGAGGGGACAGCCAGAGAGGAUGCCGUAGUGUGUGAUCUACGGAGGACCACACUGGCCCAGACAGUGCGAGCAGAGGGAGGGCCGGUGCUACGGAUGUGGUCAGCCGGGACACAUGAGGGCAGCUUGUCCUCGAGCAGCAUCUCCAGCACCAUCAUCAGCUUCAGCUCCACCAGCACCUCAGCGGUCAUUCAGAGCAGCACCCAGUUACCGCUAGGAGGAUAGAUCUUCCGUGCCGCGACAGGGUGAGCGGCGACAGCAGGCUCCGAGUGGCAGAGUCUAUGCAGUACAGGUGGAGGACUCUACGGCAGCCGACCGAGUGGUGGCAGGUAUCACUUUGAUUUUCGGCAUUCGUACUCGUACUCUUUUUAAUACUGGAGCCUCGCAUUCUUUUGUUAGCCGAGCAUUUGCAUUGUUGCAUGGUCUAGAGUUAGAGUCCUUAUCGCAGGCACGAGAGGUGCAGAUCCCCGACCAUGUCUUGCAGGUUACAGAGUGUUGUUGGUCCUGUCCGGUGCAGUUAGACUCUUGGGUUAUGCUCGCAGACCUGUUGGUGCUAGGGCAGCUGCAGGACUUCGACGUUGUACUAGGUAUGGAUUGGCUGGCGCGGUACUAUGCUACGAUCGACUGUGGAGCGAGAACGGUGACGUUCCGCGAGCCUGGCCAGGAGGAGUUUACUUUCAGAGGCUGCAGGAGUACGUUGUUUGCCACCUGGAUCUCUUCGGCGAGGGCUCGACAGCUGUUGAGUAGCGGGUGUAUCGCUUUUCUAGCGACUGUUGUGGAGGUACCUACGGCGGUGCCGGGACUCGAGGACAUCCCAGUAGUCCGCGAGUUUCCGGAUGUGUUUCUCCCUGAGUUGACGACGUUGCCGUCGGAGAGGGAGAUUGAGUUUGUGAUUGAUGUAGUUCCGGAAACUGCACCAAUCUCAAAGGUACCUUAUCGGAUGGCGCCGGCAGAGCUGAGAGAGCUAAAGGCACAGCUUCAGGAUUUGAUGGAUAGAGGGUUUGUGAGACCCAGUGUGUCGCCUUGGGGAGCGCCGGUGUUAUUUGUAAAGAAGAAGGAUGGUUCGCUCAGGUUAUGUGUGGAUUACCGGAAGCUGAAUAAGGUGACCAUCAAGAAUAAGUAUCCCUUGCCGCGCAUUGAUGAUUUGUUUGAUCAGCUGCAGGGAUCUUAUGUCUUCUUGAAGAUUGAUCUCCAGUCAGGUUACCACCAGCUGAGGGUGAGGGCCGAGGAUGUUCCCAAGACGGCUUUUCGGACUCGGUACGGGCAUUAUGAGUUCACGGUGAUGCCUUUUGGAUUGACGAAUGCCCCUGCCGCAUUCAUGGAUUUGAUGAACAGAGUGUUCAAGCCGUUCUUUGAUAGGUUUGUGGUAGUCUUCAUAGACGAUAUCCUGAUAUACUCCCGGAGUGAUGCUGAGCAUGAGGAGCACUUGAAGAUUGUGCUACAGCUUCUGCGAGAGAAGAAGCUGUAUGCCAAGUUGAAGAAGUGCGAGUUCUGGCUACGGGAGGUUGCUUUCUUGGGCCACGUAAUUUCAGCCGAGGGCGUAGCAGUGGACCCGAAGAAGAUCGAGGCAAUUCGAGAUUGGCCUAGACCGACGACGGUGACUGAGGUACGGAGCUUCCUGGGACUGGCAGGAUAUUACCGUCGGUUUAUGGAAGGCUUUGCGAAGCUUUCCACACCUCUCACACGCUUGACUCAGAAGGGGAUUCGUUUUGUCUGGAGUGAUGACUGUCAGAGGAGCUUUGACAAGUUGAGACUGAGGUUGACGUCGGCUCCUAUCCUUGCCUUUCCGGUGAUGGAGGAUGGAUUUGUGAUCUACAGUGAUGCAUCGCACAGUGGACUUGGUUGGGUGCUGAUGCAGCAUGGUAGGGUAAUUGCUUAUGCUUCACGGCAAUUAAAGGAUUAUGAAAAGAAUUACCCUACGCAUGACUUGGAGCUUGCCGCGGUGGUUUUUGCUUUGAAGCUCUGGCGGCAUUAUUUGUACCGCGAGCACUGCGAGGUCUUCACCGAUCAUAAAAGUCUCAAGUAUCUGUUCACACAGAGGGAGCUGAACCUGAGACAGCGCCGGUGGUUGGAGUUAUUGAAGGACUAUGACAUUAGUAUUCAGUAUCAUCCUGGCAAGGCGAAUGUGGUGGCAGAUGCGUUGAGCAGGAAGUCAGUGCAGAGCCUGAGUUUGAGGAUUACUGAGCAGAGACCCCUACUCGAGGAGCUACAGCGGCUGGGACUCGAGAUAGUACCCCCUGGGUCUACGGCGAGGCUGACGUCUCUAGUGUUGCAGCCCACUCUGUUGGAUAGGAUCCGAGAGAAACAGAGUGGAGAUCCGUACUUGUUGAGGAUUAGAGAGCAGCUAGACAGGGGGCAGGCUGAGGGAUUUGCUUUGGACAGUUCGGGAGUACUACGGUACAUGGACCGACUGUGUGUGCCCGUGGAUCCUGAGAUUCGAGCGAACAUUCUGAGAGAGGCUCAUUGUUCCCCUUAUACGGUUCACCCUGGGGGAACCAAGAUGUACAAGGAUCUUAAGGCACGGUUUUGGUGGCCUGGAAUGAAGAGAGACAUUGGCAGAUUUGUGGCUCAGUGUUUGACUUGCCAACAGGUGAAGGCCGAGCAUCAGGUGCCUGCUGGUAAGCUUCAGAGUCUGCCAGUGCCCGAGUGGAAGUGGGAGUACAUCACUAUGGACUUUGUCGUUGGAUUGCCUAGAGCGCAGGGUGGCUACGACGCAAUUUGGGUGAUAGUAGACAGACUGACCAAGUCUGCUCACUUCCUACCGUUUCAGACUACCUGGUCCAGAGAGAGACUCGCGCAGCUAUACUUAGAUGAGAUUGUUAGGCUGCACGGCGUGCCAGUGUCGAUUAUAUCAGACAGAGACCCGAGAUUUGUAUCACAUUUCUCGAGGAGUUUGCAGACAGCCUUGGGUACACAGUUGCAUUUUAGCACGGCGUUCCACCCACAGACAGAUGGUCAGUCAGAGCGGACUAUACAGACUCUAGAGGACAUGCUGAGGGCAUGCGUCCUGGAUUUUGGAGGAGGGUGGUAUCGACAUGUGAGACUAGUUGAGUUUGCGUACAACAACAGUUAUCAAACGAGCAUUCAGAUGGCUCCGUUUGAGGCGUUGUAUGGACGCAAAUAUCGAUCCCCCCUGUUUUGGAGUGAUGUGGGUGAGCGGAGGAUACUUGGACCGGAGAUCUUACUUGAGGCUGAGGAAAAAGUGAGAGUCGUCCGACGACACCUUCUGACAGCACAGAGCCGACAGAGGAGCUACGCCGAUACCAGGAGACGAGACUUGGAGUUUCAGGUCGGAGAUCAUGUUUUUCUCAAAGUCUCGUCGUCCAGAGGAUACGCCGAUUUGGAGUACGUGGAAAGCUUAGUCCACGGUUUGUUGGCCCGUUCGAGGUAUUAGAGCGUAUCGGACCGGUGGCUUACAGGAUAGCUCUACCCCCGCGACUUGCUGGCAUCCAUGAUGUUUUCCACGUCUCAGCACUGAGGAGAUACGUUUUCGACCCCUCUCACGUGAUUGACUUCACUCCACUCGAGAUUGGCGAGGAUCUGAGAUACGAGGAGCGACCGUUGCGGAUUCUUGCUCGUGAGACGAAAGUAUUGCGCAACCGGGUCAUUCCGUAUGUGAAAGUGCAGUGGAGCCAUCACGAGAAGCGGGAUGCGACUUCGGAGCCUGAGACGGUGAUGAGGGAAGCUUAUCCCUACCUGUUUGAUGCCUGAGCAGAGGUAUGUUUCAGUUUCGCGGACGAAACUUUUAUAGAAGGGGAGGAUGUGAGAUCCCUUGUGUUCAGCUGUGGAGGCUUGCCGACAGCUCUGGAGAGUGUCGGGACAAGUCCGAGUCGCGUUGGCGUCAAAUAGACGUAAAACGGACUCCGUGCGACGCGAGGGCAGCUUAUAGCGAAGAAAUCUGCAAAACUGCAGAUUUCUCUGCUUGCUGUACUGGUACAACCAGCGUGGCUGUACCGGUACAACCAUCGUGCAGAGGAUUAGCAGCUCUCGGGUUGGCUCUUGUACCGGUACAAGAGCCCGUGUACCGGUACAAGGGGGUAGGUAGAGGGUUAAUUUGGUAAUUCCCUCCCUCAUUUGUUUCACCCCUCACUCCCUUCUAUGUAGCUUCAUGUAGAGAGAGAGAGAGAGAGAGAGGUCUUCUUGAUGCAAUUCUCCCUCUCUCACUCUCACUCUCAUCCAGUUGAAGGCUUAGGAGCUCGGUUGGAGUUUUGUCGCCGACGUCGCGCCGCGAGGCCGUUCGAGCUUGUGUUUGAGGCCGGGGUAGCACGUGGAGGCCGGGCGAGCAGGGAUUUUCGCCAUUCUUGCUGUCACUCGGGUGCUCGGUGUUGUCGAGGUGGGUAUUUCAUUAAUUCCUUGAUUUUUAGGCAAGUGUUUACUAUUUCUACUCGGAUAGUUAUUGUUUGCUGAAAUCCACCGUCGACUGUUAGUAUUUUAGCUCAUUCUCGACGUAGGAGCAUCGGAUUGCGACGAGACUUGGUUCGUUGGAUUCGGGACUUCGAGAGGAAUCCACUAAGCCCUUACCUGUGGUUUUUAGUGAAGGUUAGCUUGGUCGAAACCCUUCUCUUCUCUGCUGCUGUAUUUUUGGACUGAAUUGGGAAUUUUCGACGUUGAUAGCUUCGAGUUAGCGCGAUUCUUGGGUUCGAAGGGCUACGAUCGACCCAGCAGGUGGCGCCACAGCUAUGAGAGUAUACCGCUGCCAGGGGAUACCUUUCGAGGUGGGUUUACAUCGGUUUAUUCCUAAGUACCGUAAUCGUCGACAUGUAUGAUUUUUCAGUUUCGGUAAUCAUGUUGUAGCUUGAUAUUCGUGAUGCUAUCCUUGAUAAAAUCAGUAUUGAGAAUAUGACUAGUAAAUCUUAAAUGUACAUGUUGGACUAGGAUUUGACUUAGGAGAAAACACGAUUGGAAUCGUCAUAUACUUAAACUACCAGAUUUAGCUCUAGGAGCCGUGAUUCGAUUGUAUCGUUGCAGUAGCAGUGCGAUGAAUACCUGGGGUAGUUUAGAAGGCAUUUACGCUCGUGCUGGGAUGCCGAGCUUAUUUUUCAACAGAGUUUAGGCUGUUUCGGGUCGUUCGGUGCCGUUCGGGUUAGCGGUGGACCCAGAUUAUUGUUUUGGUCACAGAUUGUGCCGAGGGCACGGGGGUUUGGUUUGUAGACCUGUUUUGACCCUGUUCACUUGACUUUGGAUAGUUGGAGCCUGAUUGAGCUCGACAGAGAUACGCUGCAUACUCGGUUGGGUAGCGCCCACGAGUGCCACUCCGGAGUCAGGCUUUGUGCUUUCGCGUUUGUGUCGCUCAUGCCAGUUGGACUUGCUCUCCACGGACCAGUUAGUGUGGAUAGAGCCCGAUAGUCGCAACCGGGCAGGGACGGAUGUAUUCACAGUCCCGGGGACGGGUAUGCUUACAGUCCCGGUUGGAUUGGGUCAGAUUUGACAUUUCCUACAGUUGGUUAGUGUAGAGCAUGAUAGUGUAGUGAUCGAUAGCGGUAGAGUUACUUCAUGCUUUUCUGACUACUCUCGCUCCCUUCUGUAGACUUAGUGGGUGGACCGAUGUUGUUUUGGGCGGUACCCACUGAGGACUACUUCUUUUUACAGUAGUUCUCACGCCCAGUUGUUAUCCAUGUUUUUGCAGAGCCACAGGUUUCGGCUGCUGCGCCUUCCGCGGAUCACGAUCGAGGCAAGGGCGUCGCGAGUUAGAGCCCUACCCAUCGUGCUGAGCUAGAGAUGCCCCUACUGCAGGUAGAUGUUUUGUUUCGAGUUUCUGUACAUAGUAGACUUAACUCGCCAGUGCGAGUAGCUCUGUAUUUUGGAUUUGGACUAUGUAUACGAAACUCAGUUUGUUUAGCUUCUGUUUUCUCUAGCAGCUCUCUACUACUGUUCGUAGUAGUGUUUGAUUUACAGGUACAGCUGUCGCUUCGUAUACAGGAAAAAUUUCUUUGUAUACGGCGGAUUUGUCGGCGUGCCCGGGGAACGGGACAUCCGGGGCGUGACAGUGUCGGCGUAUUUUGGAUUUGGACCAUGAAUACGAAACUCAGUUUGUUUAGCUUCUGUUUUCUCUAGCAGCUCUCUACUACUGUUCGUAGUAGUGUUUGAUUUACAGGUACAGCUGUCGCUUCGUAUACAGAAAAAAUUUCUUUGUAUACGGCAGAUUUGUCGGCGUGCCCGGGGAACGAGACAUCCAAGGCGUGACAGAUUAAGUUUGUAUCAGAGCUUUGCUAUAGGUCGUUAGGACCUAGGAAACCUAAGUUUGGCAAACCUUAGGAAAGCAAGACGCGAGAGGCGUAAUUUAUUGCGAAAGUCAAUGAUUAUUUGUUCUAACUCCUCCUAGAGUUGAGUGAGUGACUGAAAGAGUGUCUGUUUUGGCCUGAGAAAUUAUGUUGGCUGCAGACGACAUAAUUUUGGAGGGAAACAGGGACCGCCUUCCAGACUUUCGUUGAUUGGGUCAAGAGUGUUUUGUUUCAACUGACCCCGAUCUAUUCCUUGCAGCUAUGUAUCGUCGCCGAGGUCGACCGUCGUUGCGAGAGCGUGCCCAGUUGGCGCGGGAUCGUGCGGGAUCCCCUGAGAGACCUGAGCAGAUGGAGCAGAGUACUCGGCAGGAGCAGGGUGACAGACCAGAGGCGAGUGCACCUCGAAUGGUAGAGCAGAGGGCCCGACCGGAGGCUAGCGCAUCCCCUGAUCUUAGUGCACAGUUGGCUGCCCUGACUGAGGUGACGAGGCAGCAGGGGGAGUUAUUGCAGAGGUUGUGUGAGAAGAUAGCUCAGCCACCGAGUUCAGUACCGAGAGUACCAGAGUCGCCAGUUCCACCCCCGAUUACUCCAGUGACCGCACUAGCUGCAGCAGUUCCUCCGUCGGCAGCAGUUCCAGUAGCGCCAGUUGCGUCUGCUAGUGAGUAUUACGGGCAUGGCUCAGGCUUUUCGGCAGAACCCUUGUAGGAGCCGGGAGUGGGAGUCGACCACCAUUGGACUGACCUCUAGUUAGAAGUUCUUCUGUAUUCUAGGGACGUCGACUAGUUUGUUUAGUAGUUACGCGCCGUUCCCUAUGAAUAAGAACUACCAGUGGAAUAAGUCGAAGGCCAUUAGGUGUGUAUUGGACUCGCUUGGUAGGAAGAAGAAAUGUUUAUUGUGGCCGCGAGGGGUUCCGCUGUGUGACCCAGAGUGUUUGGGAGAUAGGUAGUUUAGGACUUCGACACGGAAAUCGAGAGAGUCGAGACGGCCGCGGUAGGCUAUUCCAUGGAAACUCUAACCACGUCAAAGGCCUUGAUGUAGUUAGUGUUUGAGUUAGAGGGAGAGGCUGCCGUUGCAGCAGUUGAGUCCCUCUUUGUGUAGGCCUUUGAGCGCCUGAUGACCCUACAGGAGCUCAGGGCCGUGGCGGCAUCCAUGGAGGUGUUGUCAGCGAUCUUUUCGCUAUGUGGGCGAUGAGUUGUCGACAGCUCGGGAGCGGCUUCUCUAGGUCCACCGUUUGUUGCAUGAGGACGUCGGAGACUUUCAUUUGAGGAGGACCGGUCCGAGCGCCUUGCAGUGGCAAGAGCGAGGUGUCAGCUAGCAUCGUAUCAUGGCGCGGUCGGUUAGGUAUGGAUCAUGUUGCAGCUUCAGGACGUCGACGGGAUCGUGGUUGUCCAGACGCUCGUAUUGGGUUCUCAGAUUGACGUGGCCUGUCCUGGUUGUUGUGAGACAUUGGACGUUCUGUACCAGCCCCUAGACGUGGAGAGCACGGACGCUAUUCCUGAGAUUGAGAUCUGGUACGUUGUUACGUUUACGAGCCGAUUGUUUUCUUACGCUCCGAGGUCAUAAUUUUUCUCAUGCUCAUGCUUACGGCUUUUAGUUUCACUAUGGACGGUGGUGAGCCAGCCGACGGCAUCUCAGGAGGUGGACAUGACGUAUCUGAGACGGUGAGCCUCGGACGACAGCGGCGAGUGGGACAGCGCCGUGCCUUCUAGAUAGGAGGAUCGCCAUUGACCCACGACGAGACUUACUGGCGACUCCACGACCACCUCGACUUCGACUACUACCACGACCUCUACGACGAGCUCCUGUUCGACGGGAGUACACAGGGCCGACUGGUGUAGGCAUCGUGGCCGGGAGGGAGACGAGCGUGACAGACCCGGUCACACCAGGAGGCAUCUAGUGUGUGAUGCCGUAGGAGAGACCGACAGGGGAGACUGCUCUUAGGGAUCUAGCGACUGCGGGGCUCCUAGGAGCUGGGACGCUUGCGCUAGCACCUCCGGAGCCGCCCUCGGACGAUGAGCGGACUGGAGGCAGCAGACCUCGACCCGCGAAGGACAGGACUGAGACAGGGCCGGGGACUCGGGAGAGGGCGUCGCUGUGGAGAGGAGAGAGGAGGGUAUUACGGACGAGUUACCUACGUAGGUUUCAGGAGCUGGAGACGCGAGAUUGCUUGGACUUAUCCAGCCCAGAGUUUGGGACGAGCUUGUUUAUCUGGGAUACACGGAGCAGAGACCGGUGCUUGCCUUGUGUCAAGUCCUCGGAUCAUUUGAAGGCUUGUAUGAGGACUUGACAGGCGAGUGGGACGACCUAGGAGAAGUUUAGGAGGAGCUAGAAGACAAAGUACGACAACCCCUUUAUGUAGGGUAUGUCGUAAGGUGUCUUGAGUAGGGUGGAGUUGACACAGCGGUGGUCAGGGACCAGAGCGGAGCGAGACGCGGUGAUUAGUACACGUAGUGGACUGUCUGUCACAUGAGGGUUUCCAUGGACGAGGGUGAGACCUUGCUUGUCUAAGAACUUAUUGAAGAGGUAGCGUGACUGGAUAGGGAGUUGUUAGGUCCGGAGUCACGGAGACAGCAGCUUCUAGCCACCCAGUUUAGCUGCUUUUGCACGAUUGGAGAGGCAGGUCGCGAGGACGAGCCGGAGUCAGUUGCCAUGAGCGGGGNACGAGUGCCACUCCGGAGUCAGGCUUGUGCUUUUGCGUUGGUGUCGCUCAUGCCAGUUGGACUUGCUCUCCACGGACCAGUUAGUGUGGAUAGAGCCCGAUAGUCGCAACGGGGCAGGGACGGGUGUAUUCACAGUCCCGGGGAUGGGUAUGCUUACAGUUCCGGUUGGAUUGGAUCAGAUUUGACAUUUCCUAUAGUUGGUUAGUGCAGAGCAUGAUAGUGUAGUGAUCGAUAGCGGUAGAGUUUACUUCAUGCUUUUCUGACUACUCUCUCUCCCUUCUGUAGACUUAGUGGGUGGACCUAUAUUGUUUUGGGCGGUACCCACUGAGUACUACUUAUUUUUACAGUAGUUCUCACGCCCAGUUGUUACCCAUAUUUUUGCAGAGCCACAGGUUUCGGCUGCUGCGCCUUCCGCUGAUCAGGAUCGAGGCAAGGGCGUCGCGAGUUAGAGCCCUACCCGUCGUGCUGAGCUAGAGGUGCCCCUACUGCAGGUAGAUGUUUUGUUUCGAGUUUCUGUACAUAGUAGACUUAACUCGCCAGUGCGAGUAGCUCUAUAUUUUGGAUUUGGACUAUGUAUACGAAACUCAGUUUGUUUAGCUUCUAUUUUCUCUAGCAGCUCUCUACUACUGUUUGUAGUAGUGUUUGAUUUACAGGUACAGCUGUCGCUUCGUAUACAGGAAAAAUUUCUUUUUAUACGGCGGAUUUGUCGGCGUGCUCGGAGAACGAGACAUCCAGGGCGUGACAAAACCAAAUUAGGUACCAUAUGAAAGAUUCAAUGUUUUAGAAUUUGAAAUCGAUAAUUCAAAUUGGUUGGAUCAGGUUGCACAUCCAAAAAAAACAGACUUUCGAAAAAAAAACCUUUUUUUUAAUUUUUCGCCCGUUGGGUUUGAAGAAAAAUAAGUAUUUUUAAAAAUCUUAUUUUCGUAUUUCAAAGAAAAUUAGCACUUUCUUUUCCUAAUUUUUUUUUAGAGAAACGAAGAUACUAGUUUUCCAUAAAAUAUUGGAAAAAAGUAUUUUCAUAAAAUAUUUUUUUUGUUAAAAUCAAAAGGACGAAAAUUUGAAAGAACAGUUUUUUAUGAAAAAAAAAUUUCUUCUUAAUAUUUUUUUUAUAUUUUUUCGAAAACCGAAUAAUUUCUAAGUGUGUGUUUGGAUUGAGUACAAGAGGAGGGAUAAGAGGGUUAUCCCCCCUCGUGUACCAAAACACCAUUUGGGUGGGUGGGAACAAGUUGUUCCCACCCAAUACUUUGGUGGGAACAACUUGUUCCCACCCCCCGGGUUGAUUUUUAUUUUAAGUUUAAAUUUAAAUUUUUAAAAUUUAUAAUUUAAAAUUAUAAAUUUUAAAGUUUAAAUUUUAAAUUUUAAAUUUUAAAUUUGAUAUUUUUAGUUUUUAAAUUUUAAAUUUGAUAUUUUAUAUCUUUGAAAUUUAAAUUUGGUCCUAAAUUUAAAUUUUGAUAUUUAAAAUUAAAAUUUUUGAAAAUUAGAAUUUUAAAUUUUAAAAUUUAAAAGUUAAAAUUUUUAAUUUAAAAUUAUAAGUUUAAAAUUUAAAUAUUCAAAUUCAAUUAUAGGAAUAAUAUCAUUAUUUUUUAUUUAUAACUAACAACUAUUCCUCUUAUUCCCAAUAACCAAUCAAAUACAAUUUUUCUAGUUCCAGCUUAUACUCACAUUUUCAUCCAAAUAAAAAAGCACGCUUGUUCUUAAAAAAGUUCAUACUUAUACCUAUCCCCGAUAUAACUAGUUCCUACUAAUUUCCGAACCAAACGGCGCCUUUCGCUAUUACUUCUCCGUUCCAACACGUGGGACUUUCGCUGCGAUCCAUUAGAGAUACUCUUUACUUCCCUCAUCCAAAACAAAUAAGGCAAUGUGUAAGCCGUGCAAAUUUAAGUUCACUUUUUGGUAACUCAAAAUCAAUGCAAUCAUGCAAUUCUCCAUGUAAUGUGUUAAUAACUUCAACUUCAACAGGUGCAAAAUACAAGUGCGCGUAGUUAUCAUGGUACAUGUUUAUAUUAAAUAGCUUAUAGAAUUAUGAUGGUGAUUUUAAAAAUAACAGGUGAAUCAUGAGUAGCACGUUUGGAGAGGGAAAAAAAGUGAAAAAGUACAAUCCGGAAAGAAAAUAGUUCGCUUGAUGAAACCAAGUGAAUUCAACUACUACCCUAAUUAAUUAACACGACAAAGGUUUCUUCUCCUGUCAAAUCGUUGAUUAAGAAUUUAUAUCAAUGAUUGCAUAAUACUAUUGAACUUGAUCUGAAAUAUUUUGAAAUAAUCUAAAAAAUCAAAUUAGUAAUAUUUUGAAAGUUAUUUAUAAUAAACAAUUUUUUAUAGCCCAUGUAAAUCAUUUGACUAUAUCACGGCAUAGAACGAUCCAAAUCGAUUAAUUUGAUUUUUUUUUUUUUUUUUGAUUUCUAUCUUCAUCAAGUUUUAUGAUCCCAAUCUUGUUGAGAUCGAGGCUCUAGUCUUUAUUUUCACAAUAUUAUUCAGAUUUAACCAUCGUUUUUCGAUCUUUGAUGCACUAGAUAAUGACUAAAAAUUUGUAUAGUUUUGAUUUAUGAAUAAUUGAAAUAUUCUAAAUUAUAUUUGAUGGUACUGAUUACCAUCUCGUACUUCCGAUUACUAAAGGCAACUUGACAAAAUUAAUGAAAUAGUAGGUGGGUUGGCACUAAACAGGAAAAAGGAGGGAAAGAGGUUGAAUAAUGUAGAAGCAUGAUUUGCUCUGAUACCACUUGUUGAAAACGUGAUUUUCUCUGAUAUCAAUUGUUGGAACUGAUAUUUGUGCUAAUACCGAUUAUAUAACCCAAGAUCUAAAAUCGAACAAAAUAAUAUGAAGAAGAGAUAUUGGAGGAUGAAAAAAUAACUAAACUAAUACUUUAUUAAUAAAAAGCAAUUAAUUACAUUCUGGGCAACACCCAUACAACCAUAUCUACUAUGGCUUUUCAUCUAUUAACCCAUGCCUAACUAUAUUUCGAUGGUGGAUAAUAUUACACACAUUUUGUCACGCCCCGGGACCGGCGAAGGCCCUCCCGGUAGCGUGCCCAGACCCGCCAUAUGUCUACACAUAUAAGGCGUCUAGAAUAAAAGCGGAAGUAAAAGCAAGUAGUAUGACAAAUAGAAAAAGUGAAAUAACUAGCAACUAAUGAUAUCAGAGCAAGUAAGGUUCUAUCAUCUAUACCAAAGUAAAGAAAAUAAAGCUAGUCAACCAAAGAUAACCAUAAGUAGUACAAUAACCGUCUCUAGAACAAAAAUGGUGGUCUCUAUACAUAUACGGGUACAACUCUCAACCUCUCACAAAAAAAAACCACGAGAGGCAGACCACCUAUCGAACGAUCCCUCGGUAAACGCGCUAGCCCGAGGCGAUACCCUUUUCGUGAUCCCUGGCCUCUCCCUGCGUGGAAGGCUCUGAAAAACAACGAGAAAAAGAGGGCGUGAGAACUAUAAUUUAUAGUUCCCAGUGGGCAAUUACUGACCUCAACUCUAUGCACCACUAGACCCCAAAAGAAAAGGGUAAGUACAAUAAUAAUAGCAAUACUGACUGCGAUAUAAGGCAUAAUUAAAAUGCUAAAUUACUAAACUCAAGUAUAAACGAUGUCAUGGUGAUGUACAUCUGCGAUAUCAUAAUAGUAUGUCCAAUGGCAAUAGCUGAGUGUCAUUAACCUUAUCAAUACAUGAUGCAUAAGUUCUGUCAUGGCAACCAAGUAUGCUUUAAUGCAAUAAAAGACUAUCAAGUAUACUGCAUGUCUCAACACUAUGCUAAAAGCAUAUAAAUGUAAUUCAACUACUAAACCUAACUAGUAGUGAUUAACCAUUCUCAACACCGUGUCGAUUUCCAUUCCAAUCAAGGACCUACCCAAGGAUAGUCCAGCUUGUGCCGCCUAAGUGCCUGUGGUAGCCCAACAUCCCUACUCUUGGAAUGUGUCUGUCCCACUCGACCCCGUAGGCUUCUCAAUACCGCACGAGCGAACAUAAGUCGCGUAGGCUAACUCCGGAGUGCCGGCUUGUAGGGAGCGACCCUCACAAGCAUGUGCGAAUGAACACAAUUGGCAAGCAAGCAUAGUCCAAGUCUCAAAUAUCCAAUCCUCAUGUCUCUAACAUGGUAUGGUCACUAGCAUCCCGAAGAUCUAGUUUAAGUCACAAUGUGAAGUUUCAACAUUUGCUACGCCUAGUGCCCCUUGAUGACACUUAGGCAAUUUGAUGUUCAACAUGUAUUCCCAAAUUCCUCAAUGGCCCUAUCCGCUAGGUUCUCACAUAUCCCGAGCUCAAUGCCGCUUGAUGACAUUAACUCUCUAGUUCACAUACCUUCUAAAUGGCAAUUUUAUCAACUUUCAUGCCACAAGUAAACUUAAGUUUAAAUGCAUGAAUCCGAACUCAUUUACACUAUAGAAGCAUGAAACCAAGUCUCAUAAAGAAUGCUAAAUGCAACCAAAGAUCUCCCAAGCAACUCUCUACUACAUAGAGGUCCAAAAUUUCAUCAUAUGUAACAUAUGCAUUUUAAGCAUUCUAAAAAUCAUAAUAAAUACAUUUAGUAUGAACAUGCAUGCUUUUUCAAUUUACGGAGCAUAUAUAACCAUAUAUGAGGAUUUCUCAUAUGUAGGCUAGGUCAAAUCCACCGAACCGUCGCGUAGGGUCUCGAUCCGCCGAACAAAGUUGUCCCCGAGUCUCAAAAUACCCUAAAAGUAUUGAGCGACAAGAUACAAGGGCAUUACGAUCAACUAUGAGAUCAAACAUUAACAAAUUUAGCAAAAGGGCUAAAACUCACCCAAUGAGUGAAAAAUCUCUCUCAAGCUCCAAAAGAGAGCUAAAUCCCUUCCAAUCCAAGCCCAAGAAAGGUUCUAAACCAACUAAUUAAGCUCCAAAAGCCCUAGAUUCAAAACGCCCAAAAUAAGCCCUAAAACCUCAUUCUAGGGUUUCAUCUCAAACCAUCAACAAAAAUCCAAUCUAAAGGGAGAGGAUAAGUGGACUACCUCUUAGAAGCUUCAAUCUAAGCUCUAAACUCUUGAAAUCCCAAGAUCUUCCCUCAACAAUCCACCAAGACCAAGCUCCAAGCUUCACAAUGGUGGAAAAGCAAAGAAAAGGGAAAAGAGAAGGAUCAACACUUAAAUCGCAAGCUAAAAAGAGAUCAAAUCCAAAGGGGGUGAAGGGGAGAGGUGCCCUAUCUUUCCUCCUGCAGUGGUGAGCUCAAAGGAGGGCCCUAGAGGCGUGGGUGCUGAUAUAAGAGACCCACAAACGCAAAAACACCCCUGCAGUUCAAACUGCACAAAAUCAGCCUCCUUAUACCGGUACACGGGCUCUUGUACCGGUACAAGGUCCACGAAAAUGCAAACCCGAGGCUCGGGUCGCGGGGUCUGCGGCUCUAUACCGGUACAAGCCCGAUGGCUGUACCGGUACAACCAUCAAUCCUUGUACCGGUACAAGACCAAUCUUGUUCCGGUACAAGCUCUGCUGCAGGCUAACCCGAGAGCUGUCCAAUGAAUCCAAAUUUUGGAUUUUGGUACCAAGCUUAAAACCACAAUUCUCGGGACUCGAACCAUAGUCGGAACACUGUCAACGACCCACCAGAAAGUCUGGAAAAGCUCGACACACAGAUCAAACACUCGAACCUCGCAAUUUGCAAAGGCCCAGUGUGUUACACAUUUAUAGCCAUCUAUAUAUAGGCAUAAAUCAAAAUCCUAAUAACAAUAAUUGAACCAAAUUUAAACUUAUCUCUUAUGUCUAAUCAACAAAAUAUUAAGAGAUAAACUUGACAGAAAUAAAUCUAAACUAAUCAAAAAUAUUGGGUUACUUAUCAAAAUCCUCCAUUAACCCAAUUUUUCGAUGUAAGCGGCUUCGUAAAUAUAUCACUUGAUUCUCGUUUCUACAAAAGUGUAGUUCGAUCUCGUUCUUCUUCACACAAGUUCUCAAAUAUAAUGAUAACGGACUUCAAUAUGUUUACAUCUUUCAUGAAAAAUUAGAUUUUUUGCGAUUGCUGUAGCCUAGCUAUUAUCACAAAAUAUUUUUGUAGGUGCCUUUUGACUUUCACCAAAUUCUUCGAGAACUCUUCUAAGCCAAAUUGCUUGUAUAGCGCUUGUUGACGCCGCCACAUAUUCGGCUUAUGCUGUCGAGAGAUUUACGAUAUCAUGUUUCUUCGAUGACCAUGUGAAUGCGCCGCUUGCAAGAAAAAAUACGUUGCCUGAUGUGCUUUUCCGUUCUUAUAUGUUGUCUGCCCAAUCGCUAUCAGUGAGUCCGAUUAGUUCGGAUUUGCCACCGUAAGCGUAAAAAAUACUAUAGUUAACCAUUCCUUUUAUAUAGCGUAAAAUACGCUUUGCUGCCCGUAGAUGCAUCUAAAUCGGCUUUUCCAUAUAUCUGCUGAUCAACCCAACACCAUAGGCUAUGUCAGGUCUAGUUGCGGUUGAGUAGUGCAGGCUACCCACCAACUGUUUGAAAUAUGUAGGAUUAACGAGCUUUCCAUCUCCUUUCUUGUUGAGCUUUAAUCCAAUCUCUACUGGGGUAACGACCGGUUUACAAUCCACCAUCCAAAACUUUUCAAGUAUUUCUCCUGUAUAUUUCUUUUGAGAAAUAAAAUACUUUGAUUUUUUUGUGAAACUUCGAUGCCCAGAUAAUAAGCUAUAUAGCCCAUAUCGGUCAUCUCAAACUCAUUAGUCAUGCUCUUUUUAAAUUCAUCAAAUCAUAACAGAUGAUAAAUCCAAUUUUACUUUGGAUAAUUACAUAUCCUAAUCAUAAUCAAAUAAAAAAUUUAAACUUAUCUAUAACUAUAUUUUAAUUAAGUUUGAAUUAUUAUUUCCAACAUCCUCCCUUAAUCCAAACCUCAUCUCCAACUUACAAAUUCCGUGAAACGCGCACUUUGAUUUUGCAAUCUAUGUUGCUGUUGUUGUCGUCGUGUUUGAGUUAUGCAACAUGACGCAUGUCCAAUGAUGUUGCCAUGCACGAAAUUUUUGCCAUCUGUAGUUGUGAUUAUUCACAUCAUCCUUAUAGAUAUGUGAAUUCCUGCAAAUAUCUUGAAAAACAUGUAUUUUUGAAAAAAUUGCAUCGAUAUGAAUUUUGUAAUUUUGUAGUAGACGAGGAAAGUCUAAUCGACACGGAUGUUUGUUCGAUACAUUGAUCUCGUAUGAAUUUUCAUGUGCUUUCUACUUUCGUAAGUCUAAUUUGUGAUUUGCAUCUUCGAUCACAUCAAAAUAAUGGUAAACUUCCUUCCUACUUUGCUGUAUAAUUUCUUUAUCAAUAGAAAUUUUUUCAAUCAUAUUAUCAUAGUGAACUUUCUCGUCGAUCUAAGCUGCACCGUUUUGAUCAUCAAUAUACUCUGCACGAAUAUGAUCUUCUUCAUAAUUUGAUAAAAUUUUUCUUUCCAAAUUGGGGUUUCUGUAUUUUCGCUGUUAGGUUGAAUUUUUUCUUCUUUUUGAAUUUCAUUCUCUUCCUGCAAAUAUUCUCCUCCAAUUUUCGAUAGCAUUUUGCACGCUUCUCGUAUCGUCUUUAUCGUUAAAAUUUUUUCAACGAACGAUAGAUCCACUGCUUGAAAAAUAUAUGAUAAAACUUCUCUAUCUCCUUUUCUCAAUUCUUAUUUACCAAAUUCUUUUCAUAAUUUUCAUUCUCUACUACAUCCCAUAAAUCUUGAGAUUCUAAAAAAUAUCGAAUGAU